This 46811-nucleotide long non-coding RNA is filed under the name Ananas comosus (pineapple). RNAcentral's name for it is "long non-coding RNA (ACOM_LNC033146)". Lineage: Eukaryota; Viridiplantae; Streptophyta; Magnoliopsida; Poales; Bromeliaceae. The record is from RNAcentral.
UUUGAUCUCAUUUGACCCUUUGUAAACCUAAUUGGUAGGUAACGAAACACGUUAGCGAAGUCGGUUCGGCAAUCCGAUGAGCCGUUGCAAAGUUAUUAAAGAAACGGACGUUUAGGCUUCGUUGUCGCCUGUAAGACCGAGGCGACAUCGUAAAAUCAUGGAAAUGGAUUUGAGGCACCGUGGCACAUAACCGAAGACCUAUAAUUUCCGGGGCUGUGAAGCGGAGCUCGGUUGUGGCGCAGUUGCAAUAUUGGGCCGUGCCGGAUACGGGUGCCGCGGGAGGCCGAUUACAAGUGUCGACAAGCAAUCGGAACGCGAGUUAAGGUGGGUUGUGUUUACCGAAGCGACUAGGUCGCCGUUAUGUCUAAGAGAAUUGUGAACUUAUGUUGAUGCAUAUAGUUGCUAAAUGAAUACAUGAUGCAUGCCAUAGAAACGUUAAUGUAAGGAAUGCUAAGUGUAUACAUGAUAAGUAUGGUGUAGAAAUGCUAAAUGUAAGCAUGUGGUUAAUGCUAAGUAAAUGAUAUAAAGUAGCAUUGCAUGUUAGUCUAAAGUAGAAACUAUGCUAAUGAUAAUGCAUAAUGAUGAGGUAAGAAUGCUAAAGUAAAGGAUAUGUGUAGGUGGACAUAAACGCACCUAUAGAUCGAGUGGCAUCUAACAUAGUGUCAAAGAACAUAGGUUGUGAAUAAAUCUAGAGUCAUGGGAACUAGAUAGAGUGGCAUCUAACCUAGUGUUAGUAAACCUAGGUUGAACAGGAAUGAUAAUGAACCUAGUGUCAAAGAACAUAGGUUGAAUUAAUAAGUGGCAUGAACCUAGAGUCAAAGUAACCUAGGUUGUGAGAUAAAGGUAAGAACCUAGAGUCAAGUGAAUCUAGGUAGAUGAGAAUAAUGGACCUAGUGUUAAUAAACCUAGGCUAAGAGUAUGAAAGCAAUGAACCUAAAGUAUUAACUUAGGUUGAGUAAAGGCUUGGACCUAGAUAGGUCAAUUUCAUAGGGUUAAGACCAACCCUUGAGUGCUGUGAAAUGGAUUCUGGAAUCCCAGGACUUAUGGAACACCAAGAGUGGUGCGGGGUGUGUGCGACGAUUUCGCCGCCCGGGGCUAAAGAACCAUUGUCGUGGCGUGUGCGACGAUUUCACCGCCGGAUGGUUGAGCCAGUUUGUGGAUCAUGCCGCAGGGUGACUUAAGCCAGAGCUGAGCGUGUGCGACGAUUUCGCCGCCGGGUGGCUGAGUCAUCGAGUGCGAUGGGCUGUUGAGCAGCCAGUGUGCGGACUAUCCGCAGAGGAUUGACUCAAGACCGAGUCGAGUGGCAUAGAUGGCUAAGGUAUGAGCAACCUUAGGAAAGAAUCGCCAAUGAGCGUUAUGUGACCAAGUAAAGACUAGAGAAAAGCUAAUGAUAAAGAAUAACUAAUAAAGUAAAGAACGGCUACAAGUAAAGAAUGGUUAAUAAUAUGAAGUAGAAUCAAUUAAUCUACUUGCAUAAAGUUACAGGUAUUGCAUAUUGCAUUUUGCGAGGCAUGACAUUUAGUUCAAUAUCGAAUAUAUAUAUCUGUUAUAUGUUAUUGGACUAACUUGUUGCAGUGCCUCCUUGGACCUAUUGGUCGAGCUUUUCCCUUGGGUGGCCGUACCCACUGGGAACCAUGGAGUUGGUUCUCACCCCACGUUGUUUUGGGGUUUUACAGGUUUGCACGUGAGUGGCGCGGCGGCGCGAGGCAAGGGCGUAGCUCCGUAGAUAGCGCCCUACCCAGAGACCAGAGAUAGUGGUACCCCGAGUCGGCAUAGCCUAGGGGUAGAGGGAAAUGAAAGAAUAAGAUGUAUCAAGUGUGUAAUAAAUUGUAAUAACUCAGAUUGUAUGUUGGAGAGAAAGUGUAAUUGUGAUGUAAGCAAAUGUAUCAAUGUGAAUGCUUGUAAUAACAUAGGAUGUGUUUAUGUUGUUGAUACCUUUCCAUAUGCAAUCUGUAUGUUGAUUUCUGUUCCUGGUUGGAACAUCGUGAAUUGUAUCGAUCGCGACGCCUAGGACGUACAGGGGAAACUCCGUUCGGCGGUCUGUCGACGUGCCCGAAUCCGACCAAAUAGGCGGGUGUCGGGGCGUGACAUAUAGGGUCUAAGUCUUUAUCAUAAAGUUUUCAUUAUAUAAUCAUCAUGCAUGCUAGAUCAUGAACCAACCAAGCAAGAUACAUUAAGCUACUAGCACGCAAUUAUAAGCAACAAUCCAUCUCUAGCCCUAUAUGAAUAUGCACAAUAUGCAAUUAGAUCAACUUAUAAAACUUAGACAUAGAAGGUAGCCCGAUUGCUUCGGGAUGGUCACCACCCACCUUGUGGUAGUACCGUAGAGCUACUAAACUCGGCGUCGCGGUCCACGUGCGCCGCUUCAACACCUCGGGUCAAAACGAACCCUAGAGCACUCAAAUCGGCGAUAUCUCCGCACUCACUCGACGGAUCGACGAACCAUCUUCGCCUACGCGUUUGGGAGCAUAGAAAUUAGGUUUCUAACCUAUCAAAAGAGAUCAAUCCCUCAUAUUUUCAAAAAUCCCAAAAUCAAGCCCUAGGUUUAGCACCUAUGGGAAGCAAUGGUUGCUAGCUUCAUUGUGAGCUAAAUCCAUAUUCUCUAAGCUCAUUAGGUUCCAUUUGAACCAUCAAAACCAACAAAAACCUCCCAAAACCCUAGAUUCACAAGUUAGGGUUGAGGCUUACCUCUAGGGUUUGCUCCAAAGCAAGCCCUAGCGUGAGAAUGUGGAGGGAGAGAGCUUCACUUUCCUCUCCUUGAUCUUCUCCUUCUUUUUUCUUCUUCCUUUCUCCUUUUUUCUCUCCUUCUUUCUUCUUCUCAUUCUUUUCUUCUUCUCACGGUUAGAGAGAGAGAGCUAUGUGAGAGGGAGAGGGAGAGAGAGAGAGGCUAAGUGUGUGAGAGAGAGGCUGAGAGAGGGCUAAUAUCUCUCUAUUGUAACAAUAUCCAAAAGAGCCCCUCAACUUUUCUAUUUUCCAAAGUCACCCUGCUGUUCGGGUGCCCUUGUACCGGUACACGGGUUCUUGUACCGGUACAAGGUCUGGGUGACAGCCAAAACUGAGAGCAAACCGGAGAGCUCGGGUCUUGGUUUUGUCGGGUUUGUACCGGUACAAGCCCCUUGUACCAGUACAGCACCUGGAGCCCUCAAACCCGAGAGCUACGCAGCCUAGCUGCGAUGGCUGUACCGGUACAGCCAUCACGCUUGUACCGGUACACCAACACCAGAAUGCUGUUUUCAGCUUCGUUUCGGCUCUACUUCGCGCCGAUCGAUGUCAAGACCAUCCCAACACCUUUGGAACUCAUUUUUGCUCUUCCAAACUUGUUGGAAUGCCAAAUGGAACUUGUCCAAACCGUUCAAUCGCCCACUUUGGCCCAUUUGGCCAAAGUUAGCCAAUAUUGUCAAAUUUCGAUAUCUCACACGGGGACUGGUCCCUGGUCGGGGAGACUGGUCCCCCAUGGCAAUGCGACCGGUCCCCGGCUGGGGAGACUAGUUCCCGUACGCUGGUUUUGCGGGAUGGACCUGAGAGACCGGUCCCAAGCAAGGAGAGACCGGUCCCUCUGGGUGAAUUUUGCCCAGUCCGGGCUAAUGCAUUGGUUGGAUUGUUGGGGGGCUUAUUAGGAUAUUGUUACUUGAGAGGGCUUUUAUGGUCCUUCCACUCUCUCACUCCCUCAUUUCUCUUCCUCACACUCACUCUAGAGAGAGAAGAAGAAGGAGAGAAGAAGGAGUUGGAGGAGAGCAAGAUCUUGAGGCUUUGGAGCAUCUUCCUCUCCCUUUGCUCACCAUUGGUGGCUUAGAGCUUGGGCUAGGAGCUUGAUAGAGGAUCAAUCUUCAACCCUAGAAGAUUUGGAGCUUGUUUUGGAGCAUCUAGAGAGGUUAGUACCUUGAUUCUAGCCUUUGAUCUAUGUUUUGGUAGGUUUUACCAUAUGAAACCCUAGAAAUGAGAUUUAGGGUUUAUUUUGGAGAUUUUUGAUUUGAGGGCUUGGAGAUCCAAUUGAUUGGCUUAGAACUUUUAUUUAGGUUGGAUUUGAAGAACUCUAACUCCCAUUUGGAGCUUGAGAGAGGAUUUCUUCACUUGAGGUGAGUUUUUCCACCUUAGCCUAUGUUCCUUAUUGAUUGAACUUAGGAUUGAUCGUAAGAUUUGUUUAACCCUUGUUCCUACAUCUUUAGGGUGCUAGGGGACUAGUAGACACCUUCGUCGGAGCAAACGAAGGAGCGCUAGAGUUAUGGUGGAUUUGGCUUCAUGAAAACGGGGCAAAAUGGCCCCCAUGCUUUCUAUACUUGUCGUAACGUCAUUUUAAAUGCAAAUCUAUGCUAAAUAGAAUUUAUGUGAAUUUUAGAACACUUAAAAUGCAUAUGUUAUGUAUAAGAAAAUUUUCACUCUAUAUAGUAGAGCAUUCUGGGUAUUGUUACAUGCAUUGGAGUAGUGUUCGCACUAGCCGAUUGGAAACAUGCCUCAUAUGUUUAAAGUGGCUCAAUUAUGCAUUUAUGAACCUUAGGUUUAAGCUUGGACUUAGUAAAAGAAAGUGUCAUAAAGGGGCACUUGGACUAGCAAACUAUUAGACUAUUGUAUUGAGACUUAGAGAUAGGCCAUGGACAUCUAUUACUUUCCAUGUUUUAGACAUGAUGACAUAGAAAUAGGCCUAUGAGAGAGUUGUGACAUAUUCCAUGUUGUUAGACAUGAGGACUUGGUACUUGAAACGGAUCUUUUGUUACUUGCCGUUGUGCUCAUUCGCCCAUACUUGUGAGGGUCGCUCCGUACAAGCCGGUACUCCGGAGAUGGCCAUCGUGAUACAUAUUCGCCGUACGGGAUUCGGCGCCGGAGUGGAUUGCCGUGGGAAAGGCUCAUUUCUGGAGUGGGGAUGUUGACUACCACGGGGCCAUUAGGCUUGGCACCGGCGAGACAGCCUUCGAGCGGAUCUCUUCAGAUUUGAUUUUUAGCAUUCAUCAAGCCAUGUGGACAUUCAUUAGAAUAGUAAACAAUGACAUCUUUACUAUUUGACUUAUGGAUAUCAUACUAGCGAUGCUUGUGUACAUUGAUACGAGAAUAGCUUUUCUUAUUUAUGCUAAAUCAUGCUAAGUAGAGAUAUCAUGUGGUAGCAAAUAUUCAUUCUUAUUUACUUAUCGUACAUAUCGUAUUUGUUUACAUCUGCUUACUGACCUCUUUUUAGUUUGGGCCUAGUGGUGUAUUUCACUGAACCAGUAAUUGCCCACUGGAAACUAUUAUUUAAUAGUUCUCACGCCCCCUGUUUUAUGGUUUUAUUUCAGAGCCUUCGGCACCAGCGGAGACACGGGAUCGCGACAAGGGAGUCGCGUAGCUAGUUAGCGGGGAGCUACUUUUGAGCUUAGGUAGUUUACUCUCUUUUUUUUGGUUUUUGUAAGAGAUAGAGUUUUGAGUACCAUGUAUAGAGAGACCACCUAUGUACUUGUUUAGCUUUUGUUUUGGGAUUCCUAUUGUAUUCACUUUAUGUUUUACUUAGUGCACUUACUUUUAUGUUCUCUUCCCUUAUUGUAGCUUCUAGAUAUACUUCGCUCUGAUGCUUCUAGAUGUUCUCUUUUAUUGUCUUAUUUAUCGUUUUGUUUUAGACGCCUUGUAUGUUUUAGACAUACGGCGAGUCUGGGCACGCGCCAGGCGGGCUUCCGCUGGGUCCCGGGGCGUGACAGAUUAGUUUGGUAUCAGAGCCUAGGGUUGAGUCUUAGUGGACCUAGCAGACCUUAGGCCGGUUGGACUAUAGGAAAUAGGCUCAUGAGAGACGAGGUCUAUUUGACUUGUAAGCGAAAGUAUCGUGAUUGGGUAUUUUGAUAACUCUAGAAAGUGGAGUUAAAUUGAAGUGUAUAGCUCCUAACUUCGCGGAGGGUUACGUUGGCGGCUUUCAACGUAACAUCGGGAGUUAGUAGUGAAGCACACUUCAUUAAUUUCGCAUGAUUUGGGGUAUUAUCUUCUUGAGCGGGAAUACGAUAGCGUGGGUUACUAACUUACGCUUUUAUGAUGUUGAAGUGAGAUGCCGAUCACUCGCUCCCAAUCUGCCGGAGCGGAUAAUGCGGCACAUCUUGAGAAGGUCGAGACCUUCGCUACCUCCGGAUCCGGUGAGGUCCGAGAGUUGUGGAGCCAGCUUGCGGCUCUCACCGACUUGGAGAUACAGCAGGCGAAGUGUAACGUACCACAUCCCUCGUAAAUUAUGCCGAGUUCCGUCAAAAAGAGCGGAACGCGGAGUGGAACGAGUGGGUAUAGGCCCUAAGUGCAUUGCAGCUUAUAUAUGGAGUAAAGGGACCCGAGAGAGAGUGAUUUCAAAAUCUGGCUAAGUCCCAAAUUUUGUGCUCUCGGGGACCGGUCCCUGAAGGAGAGACCGGUCCCCGUACGCAUAGCCUGCCAGAAAAUCCUGAGGCAUCCAGUCCCUGGUGGUGAGACCGGUCCUCGGGAGACCGGUCCCUCGCUGCGCAGCAGCUGAAAAAGUCUGAAAAUCGGCUAAGUCCUGGAAAACCCCCCGUUCGGGAACCGGUCCCUGGUCGGGGAGACCGGUACCCGAAGGUGAAAAAUGCCGAGUCUGGGCAGAUCAAUGGGAAACAAGUGGAGGGGCUUAAGUGCAAUUGUUACAACACUAUAUAUGGCCCAACCCCUCUCUCCCGCAGCCAUUUCCCUCCUCUUCUCUCAAUUUCUCUUUCUUUCUUUAGACCUCCUCUAGAGCUUGGAGAAGAAGAAGAAGAACUUGGAGAAGAAGGUGGAUUUGGUGCUUUGGAGGUUCUAGGAGCUCUCCAACAAGAAGAAUCUUGGAGGAGCUUGGACUAGAGGUAAGUUUUGUAAGGUUUUCCUCUAGGGUUUGGAUUUUGGUUUAGGGAAUUGGAGCUUUGUGCUCCUUAGAGGCUUUAGAGGCUCUUUUGAGCCAUGAACAACAAGGUAUCCAUGAGAGCUCAAGGUGCUCUCAUGGUGAAUCCUUGGAAGUUAUUUUAGGAGCCCUAGGGUUGGUUCCAAAGGUCAAGAAGCCUUACUAUGAUGCUUCUUAGAUGAUCCUAAGUUAUUGUUUGCUUAGCGUUGGGAUCGAUUCAUGGAAAAACCCUAAAUGACAAUGUUAGGGCUUGAAAAUUGGGGCUUUUGCCCUAGGAUUUUUCGGGGACGAAUUGACCCCGUAGAAACCCAAUUGGGGGUGCCCUAAACACGUUGAACAACUCCGUUUAACGUUGUGAAAAUGUUAGAGUAUGGUUCAUGUACAAAGGGCCUAAUAUAGCACUAUUUUGAUUAUAGGGUGCAGAAUCGACUUUCGUAAAGUGCGGGAGCCUUCAUAUUCUACACCCACACGACCAAUAGAGGUGGGGGGUGCACGCCGGAAUUGUUGGAUUCCCUUCUAUAUCUGUUUUCUCUAUUCUUGAGCAUAUAUAUAUAUAGCCAUUCAUGCAUAGUAGGGUAGAUACAUGUGAAACUUGGUUUGAUUUUAUUUAUAUGUUUCUAACAUAGUUGAACAUAGAGAAUGAUAGAACCAAAAUGGGCAUGUGUGAUAGGACCCUCAAGUUGUGUGAAUGUGAGGUUUGGACAUGGACAAUAGAAAACAAAGGUAACAUUGACAUAGAAACAAGAUUGGCAUUGAGAGAUGAACCGUUAAACAUAGUUUAACCAAAUUAUGGCAUCAUCACGAGUAUAGCCUUGAGAGUGGCAAGAAUGAAUAGGUAGAGAGCUAUCAUCACAUCGGCAUUGUGACUAGUGGCUGUGAAUCCUCAAGUUGAGGAUUGGAUCGAUACUCACGUUACGUCUUGGCUUGAGGGAGGUCGCUCCCCCUCGAGCGGUGCGCUCUAGAGUUGGUCACCACUGGGCAUGGUAAAGUCCCCCCAGAUGACGGUCCCUAGGGAGGUUCGAGUCCCCCGCUAUUAAGGAAUUUUGGGUGGUGAGUUGUUGGGGUUAACAAGGUUAACCGGCAAGAUUGGGUAAAAGCCAAAGUCAAGUUUGUAAAUGGGCAUGCAUGCAUUUAUCUUCCACAUGAUUAUUUGUCUACUGACCAGUUUCUUGCAGGCAUUGUAUUAGUAGUAGCAUUAGAUGGUUUGCUAUCUUUUCCUUUGAAAUACAUAUGCCUGGAUAGACUUAGUGGGUAAGUCGGCGAGGUCGGAUGCUGAGCCCACUGGGAACUUCGUUGUAGUUCUCACACCACUAACCCUAUAGGUCCUAGCACGAGCGAGGCGGCGGAGGACUGAGGCAAGGGUGUAGCGCCGUAGAUAGCGGCCGCCGGGACUUUAUACAUUUUGUAGCCAUUCCCAUUUUUGGUAUACAUGUAUCAACUUUACUUUGUUGAUUUAGAGAUGUAAAAUGUAAACAAUCAUGUAUUUGGUAGAUGACUAAUUGUGAAAAGAUAUGAUGGAUGAAUGUAAUAGUUUACUUACUUGAAUUUGGUUUAAAUGUAAUCAAAUAUCAUGUAUGUUGUAUAUUUAGCUUGGAGCUUUCGCUUCCGUUGUUGCUUGCCCUCGUGCAAGCCUUGUAUUACAUAUGCAAAUCCCUUGUUGAUUGCUUAUUUAUACAUGUUGUUGGAGCCUUGGGCGGACAGGGGAGGCUCUGUCCGCUCGGCGUCUGUUGACGUGACCCGAUCCCGACCAAAUUGGCGGGGAUUGGGGCGUGACACGAAGGCUGCCUGACAGCAGACGGAGGCGGUGCUCCGACAGGAGGCACGGAUGCAGCGCCUGGAGGACCUUCUUUUACAGCAAGCGGCAGCUUACAGGGAGACUCAGGCCCCUACACCAUCAGCACCAGUUGUGGACGUUGCCCCUAGAGCGCCAUCCCCCGCGCCCAGUUCGUUGCGAGCAGCGCCUGCGGCCGCACCUCAGGAGGAGGCCAUCACGGUACCACCUGUGCAGAGGCCCCCGGGUAGAGCAGCUUUCCCUACUUGGUUGAGGGAGCGGAGUGGGACAGACUGAUGGAGCGCCUCAACGAGUUCAGGAGGUGCAGUCCCCGGAUCUUCGACGGCAAGAAGGUCGACCACUGGAUCGUGGAGAAGUGGUUGAUGCAUAUGGAGAAGCUCUUCCGUGACACCUUUGUUGAGGAGAGAGAUCGAGUUUGGCUCGCCACACACCAUUUGGACGGCGAGGCCUACCGCUGGUGGUUGGAUCUCCAGGAGAACCCCAGCACUGACUUGGCGGCUAUAUCUUGGAAGAGGUUCAAGGAGCUUCUAUUGGCGCACUACUUCUCAACCAGUGUCAAGCGGAAGAUGGAGCAGGACUUGCGGAACUUGCGCUAAGAAGAUCGGACAGUAGCCAAGUAUGAGCGGGAGUUUUCUCGGCUUCUACACUACGUGCCCUUCGUCGUGCGGGACGAUGAGGACAAGGCCCGUAUUUUCGAGCGAGGGUUGCGACUGUCGAUUUUCCGGUUAGUGCAAUCCUCUAACCUCCAAACCUAUCGAGAGGUGGUGGAUCACGCGCUCAUAGUGGAGAGCGGCGCGGCGGAUGUCCAAGAGCGGCGAGAGGCCAUGGACAAGGGUAAGGCCAAGAGGCCUGCGGCAGAGGGUGCAAGCCAGACGCACUCUAGGAGGCCGCCGAAGCAUCCUAGGAGUCAGCAGCGUGGACGCGGCUCAGCGACGCAGCGAGGAGGUUCUGACCGUCCCCGGUCCUCCCCGUGUGUGAUCUGCAGUGGUCCUCAUUACCCACCGCAGUGUCCACAGCGGGCGGGCAGGUUUUUCCAGUGUGGCCAGGAGGGCCACGUCCGGACUGAGUGCUCCAGAGGUUCUUCAUCGGCACCGUCGACUGCAUCGGCACUGGCUUUACCAGCCGCUACCCACGGGACUCCGUCGACACAAUACCAGCCUGGGCGGCCACCCGUCCAGCGCCAGAGCGAGGGAUCUCGACAGGCCCCGAGUGGGCGUUUGUAUGCUGCUGAGACCGAGGAGGCGGCAGCAGCCGAGGAUGUGGUUGCAGGUAUCAUUUUACUUGAUGGCAUUAGAGUUCGUGCUUUAUUUGAUACUGGUGCAUCGCAUUCAUUUAUAGAUCGGCUGUUUGCCGAGUUGCAUGGCAUUCCUUUGGUUUUCUUGUUGCAUCUGGGACAUGUUGUAGUACCCGACCACACUCUGGAUAUUAGAGAGUAUUGCCCUAGUUGCCCUGUUUAGGUAGGAGAUUGGAUCAUGCCCGUGGAUUUGCUAGCUCUGCGGAAGCUAGGGGAUUUCGAUGUGGUUUUGGGUAUGGAUUGGCUAACCGAGUUUUACGCCACCAUUGAUUGCAAGAAUCGCACGGUUACUUUAAGAGAACCGGGGCAGACUGAGGUUGUAACACACUGGACCUUUGCAAAUUGCGAGAUUCGAGUGAUUGGAUAUGUUUCGAGCUUUCCCACACUUGGUGGAGGGUCGUAGAAUGUUUUUCGAUCUAAAAAGUUCAAAAACUUGAGUUCUGGAUGAAACCAGAGAGUUUUUACUCUCGGCGACCGGUCCCUGAUAGGGGAGACCGGUCCCCCAGUGAGCAGUGUUGCGCUGUCGGCGAGGCAACCGGUCCCUGGCAGGCGAGACCGGUCCCUGAGCGCGUCUUCGCAGUGAGAGACCGGUCCCAUGCAGGGAGAGACCGGUUCCCGAACGAUGGUUUCUCGGGUGCGACACGAGAGACCAGUCCCUUGCAGGGAGAGACCGGUCCCUCUGGGCGAAAAUUGCCCAGACCGGGCUGAUGCAAUUUUAGAUUUUUGAGGGGCCUAGCUGGAUUUUGUUGCAAUAGAUGGUCUAUAUGACCCAUCCACCCUCUCUUCUCCUCAUUUCCCUCCUCACACUCUCCCCACACCCUUGUUAGAGAGAGGAGAAGAAGAAGAAGGAGAAGAAGAGGAGGAGGAUCUAGCUUGGGCUUGGAGCAUUCCUUUGCCUUUCUUCCUCUUCCCACCUUGUUGGUGCUUGAAGGCUUGGAUCUGGAGCUUGCAUAGGAGAAGAUCUUCACCCUUGGAGCUAGGAUUGGAGCUUCUAAGGAGGUUUGUUGCUCAUUUCCCUCCUCUAGACCUUGUUUUGAAAGUAUUUUGUAGAUGGAACCCUAGAAUGGAGAUUUAGGGCUUAUUUUGGGCAUUUUGAAUCUAGGGCUUUUGGAGCUAAAUAGUUGGAUUAGAAUCUUCCUUGGGCUUGGUUUGGAAGGAUUCUAGCUCUCUUUUGGAGCUUAGGAGAGGAUUGUUACUCUUUAAGUGAGUUUUAGCCCUUUUGCCUUGUUUGUUAAUGUUUGAUCUAAUGGUUGAUCGUAAUGCCCUUGUAUCUCUUCGCUGAAUACUUUUAGGGUAUUUGGAGACUUGUGGACAACUUCUUUCGGAGAAACGAAGGACACCGCGACGGUUCGGUGGGUUUGACCUAGCCUGGCAUAUGAGAAAUUCUCAUAUCCCAUGUUUUAUGCUUGUAGAGUAAAAAUUCAUGCAUUUCUAUGUUAAAUGUAUUUAUUGUGAAUUUUAGGAUGCUUAAUAUGCCUAUAUUAUGUGUGAGAAAUUUCGGGCCCCUAUAGAGUAGAGGGCUACCAUGUGGGACUUGUAUACGAUGGGCAUCCUAUUGAGACUUGGUAUCCUAACUCCUAUUGUGAAAAUGAGCAUUUCUAUCCUAUAUUUUGAGCUAUUCCUACUUGAGACAUAGAGGAUCUAAGUAAGUCAUAAAGGGGCAUAUGACAAGAUUGAUAUGUGAAAUUCUGAGCUAAUGUCAUGAAGCGGCAUUGAGCUUGGGUUGUGUGUGAGCCUAGUGGAUAGGGCUGUUGAGCGAUUUAGAACUGGAACAUGUUUGAACAUCAAAACGUCUAAGUGUCAUAAAGGGGCACUAGACUUAGUGAUUGAUUGGAACUUCACACUUUGACCUAGAACUAGAUCAUUGAGAUGCUAGUGACUAUUACCAUGUUAGAGACAUGAGGAUUGGAUACGUGAGACUUGGACUAUGCUUGCUUGCCAUUUGUGCUCAUUCGCACAUGCUUGUGAGGGUCGCUCCCUACAAGCCGGCACUCCGGAGUUGGCCUACGCGACUUAUGUUCGCUCGUGCGGUAUCGAGAAACCUACGGGGUCGGGAGGGAUAGACUCAUUCCUAGAGUGGGAAUGCUGGAGCUACCACCGACACUUAGGUGGCACAAGCUGGACUACAAUAUGUGGGUCCUAGAAUAUGUUGGAAAUAAUGACAUUUGAUUGAGAGAUGAUAAUCACUACUAGAUAGGAUUAGUAGUUGGAUUACUAUGACAUGCUUAUAGCAUAGUGUUGAGACACGUAGUAUACUCGAUAGUUUAUUUAUUGCAUCAUAGUAUCCUUGCUGCCAUGAUAGAGCAUAUUCAUCAUACAUUGACAUUGUGGAUCAUGUUACCUACCUGUUCAUUAUGUUGGGACAUACUAGUCAUGUUUGGACUUGCUUCAUUGGGAUAAAGUAGAUGUACACACUUUCGACAUCAUGUUUACUUGUGAUAUAGUAGCUUAGCAAUUAUUUAUGCUUUCAUAAUGCAACUAUUUCGUUACUAUUUCCUUGUUGACUUACCCUUUUCUUUUGGGGCCUAGUGGUGCAUUGAGCUAAGGUCAGUAAUUGCCUACUGGGAACUAUAAAUUAUAGUUCUCAUGCCCUCUGCUUUAUGUCUUCUUUCAGAGCCUUCCACGCCGGGAGAGGCUAGGGACCGAGGGAAGGGCGUUGCUUCGAGCUAGCUCUUCUGCGAGGGACGAGUGGUUAGGUGGUCUACCUCUCGACGUUUUUUUUUAUUUUUGCGAGAGGUUGAGGGUUUCACCAGUGUACUAGAGACCACCCCUUUGUGUACUAUUUUUGGAGAUGAUAUUGUACUACUUUAUGUUUUACUCUUAUUGUUUUUGUAUACCUCUUUUACCUUGUUAUAAACUAUAGAUAUGUCUGUGCUCUGAUAUCUCUAGAUGUAGAUUAUCUUUGGUUUUAUUUUUCGCUGUUGUUUUAGACGCCUUAUAUGUGUUAACAUAUGGCGGGUCUGGGCACGCUAUCGGGAGGGCCUCUGCCGGUUCCGGGGCGUGACAGAGGUUGUGUUUAGAGGAUGCCGGAGUUCGCUUUUUGCGAUGUCGAUCAGCUCGUCUCAAGCUAGGCAGCUGAUCAGCCGAGGAUGUGUAGCCUACUUGGCUAGUGCUGUGUUGAGGGGCGAGGAUGACACCCCUAGGAUUGAGGAUAUUUCGGUGGUACGGGAGUUUCAGGACGUGUUUCCAGCUGAGCUGCCGAGUAUGCCACCUGAUAGGGAGAUCGAGUUUGUGGUAGAUCUCGUCCCUAGGACUACUCCAAUCUCGAAGGCACCCUAUAGGAUGGCACCGGCGGAGCUGAAGGAGCUGAGGUGUAAGGAAGUGAAUUCGCGAAAUUUGAGAAUUGUACUUCACCCAGGAUCGGCUAACUGUCGAGAGAAUACCCUUUGUGGGAGUUGAAAAUAUCCAAAACACAAAAAAUGCUUUGGAGUUGAGUCCGCGAGAGCAAAUAGACAAAAUCUGGACUCAGCAGAUUUUUGCUCUCGGGGACCGGUCCCUGGAGGGAAGGACCGGUCCCCGUAGCUGAUGGUCGCGGGGGAGGUCGAUGUGACCGGUCCCUAGCUGAGGGGACCGGACCUCGUGCGCGACACCCGCGAGAAAAAGCCUAAAUUUGGCUAAGUCCUGAAAGUUCCCCGCUUGGGAACCGGUCUCUCAGGAAAGACCGGUCUCCCAGGGACCGGUCCCUCAGGUGAGGACCGGUUCUCGUACGCGAAAAGUCCCCAGACUGCAGGGAGAGCUCUCGGGGAUCGGUCUCCCCGACCAGGGACCGGUCCCCCUGGGCGAAAACAGCCCAGUGACAGCUGCGUGAGAGAUGAAAAGUUGAGGGGUCUAAAUGCAAAAUGGCCUUUAUUAGAGAGGGCUAAGCCCCCUCUCUCCCUCACACUCUCAUAUUCUCUCUCUCUCACACUCUCUUUCUCUCUUGCUCUCUCCCUCUAGAAAGGAAAGGAGAAGAAGAAGAACAAGAAAGAGAGGAAGGAAAAGAAGAAGAAGAUAAGGAAGGAGAAGAAGAAGGAGAUCAAGAAGAAGGCUUUGAGCACCUUCAUCUCCCUCUCCUCUUCUCUUUCGUGUAGCACAAGAGGUAAGCUCUUGAACCCUAGCUUCAAAAUUUUGGGUUUUUGGGUUUUGGUGCUUUGGAAUGGGUCAAAUGGACCCUAAGGAUGCUUCUAAGUAGAUCAAUCCCAUAAAUGUAGGGAUUUAAUGGAUGGUUUACUAUAGGUGCAAACCAAGGGCUCCAAAAUGGGGAUUUUGUGAAAAUAUGAGAUUGAUCUCAUUUGAAGCCUUGGAAGCCCUAUUGUUAGGUCACAAAACGUGGGGGCGACGUCGGUUUUGACAUUCGGCGAACCGGCGUGAAGUUCUCGGCAAAAUAGGGCCGGGCUAGUGUUGACUUGGGCAAAGAAGGCUAAAGCCUUUUUGUAAAGUUCACCGAGAAGGAUUUUCGAAUCCUCGACAUCGAUUAAAGGUGGGGGGUGCCAUCCCGAAGCUUUUGGACUCCUUUCUAUGUCUUAGAUUGCAUUUGAUCUCAUCUCUUCAUGUUGCAUUGUAGGAUUGCAUAGUAGCUCCAUUCUUUAUGAUUUCUAAUUGAUAACCUAGUGUACUUGGAACGCUUGGUAACUUAGAUAGGUGAGGAUUGGGUCGGAACGUGGAUCCUAUGAUGCGAAUGAAAAGAGAUGUACCCAAUGGGGGUGCUGAUGACAUAGAAAGUAGUGUUAAUGUUAAAGAACAAACGAGUGGCAUCCAAAUGUUAAAUGAUGACGAGUGGCAUUAAUAUAGUGUAAAUAACACUAGAGGUUUGAGAACCUAGGGAUAGGUGAUCCCUUAGAAAAUGCUUUGUGAACAAAAACUUAGUAAACCUAAGUAGCCUCACAUGGAGAGGUUGUCGAUGAGUCGAUUGAGACAUUGACCCUAGUGGUAGGGCUUCCUCACUUGGAGAGGAUCUGAUUGGGUUGUGGACCCUAGUUAUAGUGCUUCCUCACUUGGAGAGGAUUCGAUUGGGUAUUGACUCUAGUUGUAGAGCAUCCUCACUUGGAGAGGACUUGAUUGGAUUGUUGAUCCUAGAUGUAGGGCAUCCUCACUUGGAGAGGAUAGAUCUAGCGCACAGUCUGCGUUUGGGGUGGUAUAGCCAUCCAAUCCCCACAUGGAUGGGAUUGUCGUCGAGUAUUCCGGAGUGUCGCGCGACUAGGACCACUUGGCGGUCCGGACCACAUGGUGGUCCGCAGACGGUCCCGGGCUUGGGUGCACUUGGAGCUCCCUCCCCACUUUGGGAUUGAAAGAGUGAGUUAUAGGCGAGCCCUAGGGCCUCGCCACAGAUUGGGUAAACGGAAAGGUUAAAGGUUUAACAAUGUCAUUAAACAUUACUAUUCGAACAUGGAUCGAAUUUGUUAGCAUAGUAACAAACCUUUAUUAUAUGAUGCAUGCAUUCAUAUUUAUGAUUAUGGGCAUAGUAGCAUAGCUUUCCUACUAUCGCAUUUACAGUUUUCAGAUACAUAUCUACCUAUCUGUCUGUUGUUACAUGUGCCCACUUGGACCUAGUGGGGAGAUCGGCAGAGUCGGCGGCCGAGCCCACUGGGAACUAUGGAAGAUAGUUCUCACCCCACUCUAUUUCCAGUGGUAGGUUCAGGGUUGGCGAUAGAGGACCGCGGCAAGGGCAUAGCGCCCGAUCAGUGAGAUCGCGGUAGUAUAGUAGCUUUCCCUUUUGCAUUAGUACACCUAUGUAUUGAGAGAGAAUCAUUGUAGGUGAGGACUUGGAGAGCUAUGUAUUUUGGAUGAAUGAUAUACUCAUUUAAAGAAAAUGAUAUAAAUGAAAUGAUGAAACUAUUGUAAUAGUUAGUAAAGUACUCUCUUUAUUUCACAUGCUUUAUCUUGUGGAUUACUUGCUCUUGUAUUAUUGGCACUAAUUGUGCCCUUGUGAAUGUGUAUGUUUAGAAUUUAAAUUCUUGGGUAAAUUCUUGUGCACAUUCCGGUUGUUGAGCCUUGGCCGGACAGGGUAGGUGCUGUCCGUUCGACAAUCCGCCUCCGCGGCCGAAUCGUGCCAAAUUGGUAGUGGUUUCGGGGCGGGGCGUGACAGAUCUUUGUUGUAACAUACCACAUCCCUCGUAAAAUGUGCCGAGUUCGGUCAAAACGAGCGGAAUGCGGAGUUGAAUGAGUUAGAAUGGACCCUAAGUGCAUUAGAGUCCAUAAGUGAAGCUAAAAGGGACCUGAGAGAGUAAAUCCGAAAAUCUGGCUAAGUCCCAGAUUUUGUGCUCUUGGGGACCGGUCCCUGAAGGAGAGACCGGUCCCCGUACGCGUAGCCUGCUAGGAAAUCCUGAGGCAUCCAGUCCCUGGUGGUGAGACCGGUCCUCGGGAGACUGGUCCCUGAAGGGCAGACCAGUCCCUCGCUGCGUAGCCAGCCAAAAACCCGAAAAUUUGGCUAAGUCCUGGAAAACCCUCGUUCGGGAACCGGUCCCUGGUCGGGGAGACCGGUCCCCGAAAGCGAAAAAUGCCCAGUCUGGGCAGUUUGAGAGGAAACAAGUGGAGGGGCUUAAAUGCAAUUGUCACAACACUUUAUAUGGGCCAUCCCUUCACUCCCACAGCCAUUCCUCUCCUCCUCUCUCAUUUUCUCACUUUUUCUCUCUAGAAUCCCUCUAGGGCUUGGAGAAGAAGAGGAAGAACUUGGAGAAAAAGGUGGAUUGAGUGCUUUGGAGGUUCUAGGAGCUCUCCAACAAGAAGAAUCUUGGUAGAGCUUGGACUAGAGGUAAGUUUUGUGAGGAUUUCCUCUAGGGUUUGGGUUUUAACCUAAGGGAUUUGAGUUUUGUGCUCCUUAGGCGUUUUAGAAGCUCUUUUGAGCCAUGAAUGCCAUGGUACCCAUGAGAGCUCAAGGUGCUCUCAUGGUGAACCCUUGGAAGUUGGGUUAGGAGCCCUAGGGUUGGUCCCAAAGGUCUAGAAACCUUACUAAGAUGUUUCUUAGAUGAUUUUAAGCUAUUAUUUGCUUAUGGUUGGGAUCGAUUCAUGAGGAAACCCUAAAUGACGAUGUUAGGGCUUGAGAAUUGGGGCUUUUGCCCUAGGAUUUUUCGGGGACAAAUUGACCCCGUAGAAACCUAAUUGGGGGUCGAAUAAACACGUUGGACAACUUUGUUUGAGGAAACGAAAAUGUUUAAGAAUAGUUCAUGUAUACAAGGGCCUAAAUCGGCACCCUUUUGGAUUGUAGGACGCGGAUCGUCGUUCGUAAGGCUCGGGAGACUAUCGCGUUCGUUUUCUACUACCUCACAAGGUGGGUGGUGCAUGCCGGAAUCGUUGGAUUCCCUUCUAUGUCUAUUUCUCUAUUCUUGAGCAUGUAGUUAUUCAUUCCGUCAUGCAUAUUAGGGUUAAUUCACAUGUGAACUUUAGUUGUUUUCAUUAUGUUUAUUCCAAGUGUACUUGAAAGUAGAGAGAAAUGGAACCAUGAUGGACAUGUGUUAUUGAACCCUAGGAAUUGCAUGAUAGUGGGACUUGGACUUAGCACAAGUAAGCAAAUGGUGACAAUGACAUUAGAGAGAUAGAUUGGCUUGGAUAAAUGGAAGUUAAACAUAGAUUUAACUAUGGUGGUAUUGUGACGAGAUCGACUAGAAAGUGGCAUGAGAACAUAGGCAGAAAACCCAUCACAAAAGUGGCAUCGUGACAAGUAGCUUAAUAUCCUCAACGCGGGGAUUUGAUCGACACUCAUAAUAAGUCUUGGCUUGAGGGAGGUCGCUCCUCCUCAAGCGGUGUGUUUCCGUAAAUCGACACCACAGGGAGCGAGGUCUCUGAAGACGGUCCCUCAGGUCGGUAGUGCUUGGAGCCUCCCCGGUAAGGAAAGGGAUUUUGGGUUAUGAGUUAUUGGGGUUAACAAGGUUAACCGGUAAGAUUGGGUAAGAGCCAAAGCUUAUUCAUGAAUUGAGCAUGCAUGCCUAUUUCAUUAUUGCAUUGAGUAUUUGUAUCCACUGACAUUCCUUUGCAGGCAUAGUAUCAGAUACAUUAGUACUGGUUACCUUUCUUUCCUAGAAAUACUUAUGCCUGGAUAGACCUAGUGGGUAAGUCGGCGAGGUCGAAUGCCGAGCCCACUGGGAACUUUGUUUAGUUCUCACACCACUAACCCUACAGGUCCUAGCACGAGCGGGGCGACGGAGGACCGAGGCAAGGGUAUAGCGCCGUAGAUAACGGCCACCGGGACUUUAUGCAUUUUGUAGCCAUUUCCCUUUUGGUAUACAUGUAUCAACUUCUUUUGUUGAUUUAGAGAUGUGAAGUUGUAAACAAUCAUGUAAUUUUGGUGGAUGGCUAAAUGUAAAAAGAAAUGAUGGUUGAAUGGAAAUGUAAUAGUUUAUUUACUUGAAUUUGGUUUAAAUCUAAUCAAAUAUCGUGUAUGUUGUCUAUUUAGCUUAGAGCUUUCGCUUCCGUUGUUGCUUGCCCUCGUGCGAGCCUUGUAUUAUAUAUGCAAAUCUCUUGUUGAUUGCUUAUUUAUACAUAUUGUUACAGCCUUGGGCGGACAGGGGAGGUUCUGUCCGUUCGGCGUCUGUUGACGUGACCCGAAUCCGACCAAAUUGGUGGGGAUUGGGGCGUGACAUUUGUGGUAUCAGAGCAUUAAAGGGCAAGUAAAGAGAGAAAGUCUAGGAUGACCUAGGAGACCCUAGGUUGGUAAGCCCUAAGGUUAUAGGUGCGUCAGCGGAACGUGAACCUAUAGCGAUGGCGAAACUGAUUCGAUUAGGUCGAAGUUGGUAAUAUGUCUCUAGUUGUGAUUAGAGACGGAUUCAAGUAGUAUGAGUUCUUGUCUUGAGGUGGUUAUGCCGGCGGCCGACGACAUGAUACCAAGGGUCUAGAACGAGUACACUUGUGUACUUCCGCCCAAUUUCAUUGUUGAGUCGUUGUAUGUCGUAAUUGCGACGAGACGAACGGGUUAAGGUAAUUAACCAUGUACUUGCGUUUCAAGAGCCAAUGGCACCAAGAGGACGCCCGAGCACGAGGUCUACUCCGGCACCGAUUCCUGAGGUGCCCGAGCAGGAGGAACCGAGCGUGAUCGAUCGGUUGUAAGCGCAGGUGACCGCGCUGACCAAUGUGGUGCAGCGCCAGGAGACCUGAUUUGAGCGACUCCAGGAUCUAUUGGAGCGGCAGAUUGCGGCGGCGGCUGCAACGGUGAAUGAGGGCGGUGGUCCGCCCGCACCCUCAACUCAUAUACCCAGAGCGGCGUAGGGUGAGGGCAUAGCGGCGGUUCCGGUGACGGCACGCCCACCACCAGCGAUCGUACCACAGGUGGCAUCGGGGUCGGCUACACCCGAUGUGUCGGCCGAAGACGUGGAGGGAGAGCGUGCGUUGGCGGCUCUUAUCAAGUUCAACAAGUUCCAUCCGCCAACCUUCGAGGGCGAGAAGGUGGAACCGGAGAUGGUCGAGUCUUGGAUUGACUCGAUGGAAACCCUCUUCGAUGACUUGCGUACCUUGGAGAGGGACAAGGUUUACCUCGCCACCCAUUGUUUGGAGAAGGCGGCGAAGGUUUGGUGGAAGCGCGUUAAGCGGGAUCGGCUUCCCGGCCUUCCGCCAAUGUUGUGAAAGAGUUCAAGCGGGAGAUGUUUGCUAACUAUUUCCCCGAUACACUGAAGCGGAAGCUCAAGGAGAAAUUUCGCAAGUUGGAGCAAGGGGACUGCUCAGUGGCGAAGUAUGAACAAUAAUUCUCCCAUAUUAUCAAUUGCGUCCCAGACGUUGUAAAGGAUGACCGAGAUCGGGCCGAGUGGUUCUUGCGAGGACUUCGGUCGGGAAUUUACAAGGCCGUGCAAAUACUUAAGCUCACGACCUUUGCGGAGGUCUUUGAUCGAGCCCUAUGGGCGGAGCACGGAGACGCCCACGUUCGGGAGAAGCAUGAGCUUUUGGCCGAGUCCAAGGAUAAGGGCAAGAAACGCCAAGGUGGCGGUAGUUCGGGGGGACAAGCACGUUACAAGAAACCCCCGAAGUAUCUGCGCACUCAACAAAAGGGCGGUGGAGCGUGGUGAUGCAUUGUGUGCGGCGGAGACAACCCGGUCUCACGCUGUGAGCAAAGCCGAGGCAAGUGCUACAAGUGUGGGCAACCGGGGCACUUCAUUCGGGAUUGCCCGGGAGGAGGAGCCUCACCUGCCCCAUCGAUUGCAUCGGCGCCGGCGAUUCCGGCUCACUAUGGAGGAGCUCUACCGACGGCCGCGUCAACGGGACGCGCGAUGAUGCUGCAUCAACCUGAAAUGACGCGAUCGGCCCCGAGCGGACGGGUGUUCGCCGCUCAGGUCCAAGCUGAGGAACCUGCAGAGGCGGAGGAGCAUCUCCUUGUGGCAGGUAUGGUUUUAAUUAACGGAGUUCGCUCCAGGACUUUAUUUGAUACAGAAGCCACGCAUUCAUUCAUAAGUAGAUCAUUCGCACGCAUGCAUGACAUUCUCAUGGAAGUGAGUGACAAGUAGCGAGUGGAGGGCCCUAGGUGAACGUUUAACACUUACUCGGAGUGGAAGUGGAAUGAGUAGCUCCGACGUUAGAGGAGUUAUCUGUGGUGCCGGAGUUCCCAGAUGUGUUUCCUGCGGAGUUGCCAGGGAUACCACCGGAUCGGGAGAUUGAGUUCGUCAUAGACUUGGUUCCCGGUACCGCACCGAUCUCGAAGGCUCCGUACCGAAUGGCGCCGGCGGAAUCAAGAGAGUUGAGGAGUCAACUGCAAGACCUCCUCGACAAGCAAUUUAUCCGGCCCAGUGUAUCACCGUGGGGAGCCCCGGUGUUGUUCGUAAGGAAGAAAGAUGGAUCGUUCCGACUCUGCGUGGACUAUCGAGAAUUAAACAGAGUCACGAUCAAGAACAAGUACCCACUACCCCGAAUCGAUGACUUGUUCGAUCAGUUGCAGGGAUCGUGUGUGUACUCGAAGAUAGACUUGCAAUCCGGCUAUCACCGGCUAAAAAUCAAGCCGGAGGAUGUGCAGAAGACCGCGUUCCGCACGCGGUAUGGACAUUACGAAUUCACGGUUAUGCCAUUUGGACUCACGAAUGCUCCGGCGGCGUUCAUGGAUUUGAUGAACCGUGUCUUCAAGAGGUAUUUGGACCGAUUUGUCGUGGUCUUCAUAGACGACAUAUUGGUCUAUUCUCGUAGUGACGAGGAACAUGCCGAGCAUUUGAGAAUAGUGCUUCAAGUCCUUCGGGAGGAGAAGCUAUAUGCUAAGCUGAAGAAGUGUGACUUCUGGCUCCGCGAGGUCGCCUUCUUAGGGCAUGUGAUCUCCGCGGGUGGAGUUUCUGUAGAUCCGAGGAAAGUUGAGGCAAUCAAGGAUUGGCUGCGCCCGACGAAUGUCACGGAGGUUCGAAGCUUCGUGGGCUUGGCGGGCUACUAUAGGCGGUUUGUGGAAGGCUUUUCCAAGAUAGUGAUUCCACUUACCCGCCUGACUCAGAAAGGCACCAAGUUUAUGUGGAGCGAAGAGUGUGACCGGAGUUUCAAAGAGUUGAAGCAGAGAUUGACUUCGACUCCGGUGCUCGCUCUACCGGUGCAGGGCGAAGACUUCGUAGUCUACAGCGAUGCUUCCUAUCUUGGAUUGGGGUGUGUAUUGAUGCAAAACGGGAAAGUGAUUGGUUAUGCAUCCCGUCAGCUGAAGAGCUAUGAAAAGAACUACCCUAUCCACGAUUUGGAGUUAGCGGCGGUAAUCUUAGCCUUGAAGUUGUGGAGGCACUACCUGUAUGGUGCCCACUGUGAGAUCUAUACCGACCACAAAAGCUUGAAGUACCUGUUCACACAGAAGGAGCUCAAUAUGCGUCAGCGGCGGUGGUUGGAGCUAUUAAAGGAUUAUGAUGUUGAUAUCCUCUACCACCCCAGGAAGGCAAAUGUGGUUACGGACGCACUUAGUAGAAAGUCGGCGAAGAACCUCGCUUUUGAUGUUACCCAGCAAACACCCCUAUGGUUGGAUAUGGAGCGAUUGGACCUUGAAGUGGUCACUCCCGAGGUCCCGACUCAGUUGAUGGCACUCGUUGUCCAACCGACCUUGUUAGAGAGGAUCAAAGAUCUGCAACCCGCAGACCCAGAACUCCAAAAGGUGCGGCGAAACAUCGAGUAAGGGCAUGGGGGAAUUUUAAAGUAAACGCCGAUGGUACGCUUCGGUUUCGAAACCGAUGGUGUGUGCCGAAGGAUGGAGAGCUUCGUGAAUUGAUUUUACAAGAAGCACACCGAUCUCCAUAUGCCGAUCACCCGGGCGGCACCAAGAUGUAUCAAGGACUAAAAAUGCACUAUUGGUGGCCGGGAAUGAAAGAUGAUAUUGGAUGCUUUGUGGCGAAGUGCUUAACAUGCCAACAAGUGAAGGCCGAGCGUUGAUUUCCAGUGGGAAAGCUUCAAAACCUACCAAUCCCCGUUUGGAAUCGAUGGAUUUCGUGGUCGGCUUGCCUCGCUCAACAGGCGGCCACGAUGCAAUUUGGGUAAAUGUGGAGCGAUUGACAAAGUCGGCUCACUUCUUGCCGAUCCACACUACGUGGUCGGGUGACAAGUUAGCGCAGGUAUAUCUUGACGAGAUAGUGAGACUGCACGGGGUGCCAAAAUCGAUCGUGUCGGAUCGUGACCCCCCGGUUCACUUCACACUUCUGGAAGAGCCUGCAGGAAGCCCUUGGCACACGGCUCGACUUUAGCACCGCAUUUCAUCCUCAGACCAAUGGUCAAACAGAGAGAACUAUUCAAACUCUGGAGGACAUGUUGCAAGCGUGCGUCAUCGACUAUAAAGGAAGUUGGUGUGAUCACCUACCUAUGGCCGAGUUCGCCUACAACAACAGUUAUCAUGCUAGUAUGAGAUGGCACCGUUCGAGGCUCUUUAUGGGCAGACGUGUCAGUCUCCUAUACACUGGAGCGAUGUGGGUGAGCGUAUAGAGUUCGUUCCUGAUGUUUUGCGAGAAGCGGAGGAGAAAGUCCGCCUUACUCGCAAGAGAUUGCUCACGGCGCAGUCGAGAUAGCAAAGCUAUGCAGAUAGGCGCCGUCGAGAUAUAGAAUUCGCGGUAGGCGACCGCGUAUUCUUGAAAGUUUCACCGAUGCGGGGUGUGAAGCGAUUUGGAGUGCGGGGAAAGUUGAGCCCCCGAUACAUUGGACCAUAUGAGAUACUGGAGCGAGUCGGCACAGUGGCCUACCGACGUGCUUUGCCGCCGAAGCUUCCGGAUGUACACAACGUGUUCCAUGUCUCCAAUCUCCGCAAGUAUAUUCACGACCCCGAGCAUGCGAUGCUACAUGAGCCACCGGAGCUUCAAGGAGACUUGAGCUAUGAAGAGUUUUCGGUAGGGAUUAUUGCCCGAGAGGUGCGAAAGUUGAGAAAUCGAGAAAUCCCCUAUGUGAAGGUUAGGUGGAGCAAUCACGAGGAUAACGAAGUCACCUGGGAACUCGAGAAUCUGAUGAGAAAACACCAUCCUCAUCUAUUUGAGGAGUAAGGUAUGGGUUUAAGUUAAAAUAAAGAAUUGAGUUCGUUUUGAGGACGAAACUCCUUUUAAGGAGGGGAGAAUGUAAGAAAGUGAAUUCUCGAAAUCCGAGGAUUGUACUUCACCCAGGAUCGGCUAACUGUUGAGAGAAUACCCUUGUGGGAGUUGAAAAUCUCCAAAACACAAAAAGUGCUUUGGAGUUGAGUCCGCGAGAGCAAAUAGACAAAAUCUGGACUCAGCAGAUUUUUGCUCUCGGGGACCGGUCCCUGGAGGGAAGGACUGUCCCCGUAGCUGAUGGUCGCUGGGGAGGUCGAUGCGACGGGUCCCUGGCUGAGGGGACCGGUCCCCGUGCGCGACACCCGCGAGAAAAGGCCUAAAUUUGGCUAAGUCCUGAAAGUUCCCCGUUCGGGAACCAGUCUCUCAGGAAAGACCUGUAAGGUACCAGACUUCUAAAAUUAUGAAGUUAUGGUGUACGUGGCUUUGGAAAGCCAUUUGAAUGGUUCCGGUGAAGUUCGGUGAGGUUCGGGAGCAAUUCGGUGUUUUGGUGCGCGUAGGCGCGGAAACAGAGCCCGAAAGGCUAAGUUGGGCCGUGAGCUAAAUCCGGCAUUAGCGAGGAUGGAAAGAUGAUGAAAACAUAUUUGAAAACAUGUUUGGAGAGUCUCGAUUCGAUUUGAAUUGAAUCGGAGGUCAAACGGAGCGAAAACGGACGAAGUUGAAAAUUGGCUAAGUCUGGGCUGGAGGUCUCUCUGGGACCGGUCCCAGGUAGAGAGACCGGUCUCUCAGGGACCGGUCCCUCAUGCAGAGACCGGUCCCCGAACCCCGAAAAUGCCCAGUUCGGGCUGUUGCAAGAGAGGCAUUGUUGAGGGACUUAUAUGCAAUUGUUGCAUGGGUUAAGUGUAUAGAGAGGGUUAGAACACCUCUCUCUCUCUUUCCCUCACCGUUUCAACCCCAACACCAUCCCUCUCUCUCUCUCUAAACGAAAGAAGAAGAAAAGAAGAAGAAGACGAAGGAGAAAGAAAAGAAGAAGAAGAAGAAGAAGGAGAAGAAGAUCAAGAAGGAGAUCUUCAUCCUCUCCUUCGUCUUCCUCGUGCUUGGAGCGAACCUAGAGAGGUAAGUUUUGUUACCCUCUCAUGGUAGAUCUCUAGAAAUAGGUCUAAAUGCUCUAGAAGUGAGUUUAGUAGGCUCCUUUGAUGCUAGAUAGAUGUUUAUUGCAUGAAUCGGAGAUCGAUUUGGGGUAUUUUGCAAUAGUAGCAUCUAGGGCAUCGAAAAUGGAAUUUUUGUAAAUAGAUGGGUUUGAUCUCAAAUAACCCUCUGUAAACCUAAUUGAUAGGUAACGAAACACGUUGGCGAGGACGGUUCGGCAAUCUGACGAGCCGUUACAAAGAUAUUGAAGAAACGGACGCUUAGAGCUUCGUUUCCGCCUAGAGGGCCGAGGCGACGUCCAUAAAUCGUGAAAUCGGGUCCCGAGCAUCGUAACGGCGAAGCGAAGAUCGUUAGCACUUGAAACGGCGAAGCGACACGCUCUUGGAGAGCAACUGUGAGAUCGGGCCCAAACGGGUGCCGAGUGCCGCGGGAGGCCGAUUGCAAGUGUCGACGAGCAAUCGGAACGCGAGUUAAGGUGGGUUGUGUUUACCGAAGCGACUAGGUCGCCCUUUAUGUCUAAGAUGAUUAAGAAUCCAUGUUGAUACAUAUGAAUGUAAAUGAGGCAUAUAGAUGAUGCAUAUAAAUGUAAAUAAUGCAUGUUAAUAAUAUGAUGCAAAUGCUAAGUAGAUCCAUGUAAAAUGAUAUGUUAUAGAAUACAUGCUAGUGAUAAUGCAAAUGAUAUGUAUGUGUGCAUUGGAGUAUAUGCUAGUUGCACUUAGCAUUAUGAGUUCAUGCUAGAUAGUAAAUGCAUAUUGGCAUCAUAGAAUGUAUGCGAGAUGAAAUGUGGAUAUCUAUAGUACUCGUUAUGACAAAUAGGAUAUCAGGUAGAUCGAGUGGCAUUAACCUAGUGUUAAUAAACAUAGGUCGAACAUAGAUGACAUUGAACCUAGUGUUGUUGAACCUAGGAUAAAUAACGAGUGGCAUCUAACCUAGUGUUAAAGAACAUAGGUUGAGUAUGAACCUAGAGUCGGGAUCUAGGUGUGUGGCAUCUAACCUAGUGUUAAAGAACAUAGGUUGAGAACUGAACCUAGAGUUAAGGUAAACCUAGGUUGUGAAAUUGAGGCAUUAGACCUAGAGUCAGUUGGACCUAGGGUGGAAAGUGCAUUGGACCUAGAUAGGUCAAUAGUAUAGGGUUGGAUAUGGACCCUUGACUUGUGAAGUCGAUUCCGGAAUCCCAGUACUUGUGAACUCAAUAGUUCUUGGACCGCGGGUGUAUGCGGCGAUGUUCCUCUCCCACCGGAAGAACUUUGAGGAUUAUAACUAAGCAAGAACAAAGAGCACUAGGGUGUACGCAGCAUGUUCCUCUCCCUAUCAGGGAUCUUGGCUAUGGGUGUAUGCGGCAUGUUUCCUCUCCCUCUGGCAGAUCCCUGACCACGGUGCACGGACCUUCGGGUGGACCGUUGGGCGAUGUGGUUUUUGGCUUGCAGGCUGAGGUGCAUGCGACAGGGUCCUUCACCUCGAGCCGGGCAAAGCGCAGAUUAUCCGCAGUUGAUUGACUCGAGGCCGAGUCGGGUGGCUAGCUGGAAUAAGGUAGAUAGAACCUUGAGGGCUAGUGGGUAAAUGUGAUAACCUAAGGUAGUAGAAACCUUAGAGUUGGAUGACAUGAGCUAAGAUUAGCGAGAUUGAUUGUAGAAUCAAUAAUUCUACUAGUUGUUGUAUAUAUUCCUGUUGCAUAUAGUAUGGCAUCAUUGCAGUUGUGAGACAAAGCAAGGUAAAGUUAGUUGCAUGUUUAUGAUAUACAUAUUUAUCUGUUUAUUGGACUAACUUGUAUUUGCCUCUCUUGCACCUGUUGGUCGAGUUCCUCCCUUGGGUGGCCGUACCCACUGGGAACCAUGGAGUUGAUUCUCACCCCACGUUGUUUUGGGGUUUUACAGGUUCGCACGUGAGCGACGCGGCGGCGCGAGGCAAGGGCGUAGCUCCAUAGAUAGCGCCCUACCCCCAGAGACCAGAGCUAGCAGUACCCCGUCGACGUAGCUUAGGGGUAUAGAAAAUGAAAGCAAGCAAAUGUAUUUACCUUGUAAUAUCUAUGAUGUAAUAACUUAAUUGCAUUUGGAGGUUGAAUGUGAUGUAAAAUGAAUCUAAUGUGAAUGCUUGUAAUAUCAUAGGAUGUGUUUAUGUUGAUUGAUACCUUCCUGAUGCAAUUCUGUUUGCUGAGUACUGUUCCUGGUUGGAACCNNNNNNNNNNNNNNNNNNNNNNNNNNNNNNNNNNNNNNNNNNNNNNNNNNNNNNNNNNNNNNNNNNNNNNNNNNNNNNNNNNNNNNNNNNNNNNNNNNNNUCGUCGAUUCGUCGAGCGGGUGCGACGUUCCGGCUGAAACAAGUGUUCGUGGGUUCGUAUUGACCCGAGGAGCCGAGGCGGCUUCCAUAAAUCGUAGGAUCGCAUCCCAAGCAUCAUAACGAAGAACCGAAGACCAUUAAUUUACGAAUCGCAAAUCGGUGGUCAUCUGACGGUCGUGUGUGAGUGGGGUCGAGCCAUGCGGCGUGCGCCGCGGGAGGCCGAUUGCGGGUGACGACGAGCAAUCGGAACGCGAUAAAAGGUGGUUGGUGACCAUCCCGAAGCAACAGGGCCCCCUUCUAUGUCUUAGUACAUUUUGAUUCUUGCAUCUUGUAUUAUUGCACUAUAGGAUGAUUGUGCAUUGCCUUUCCUUAUGCUUUCCUUGAUGAUAUCGUAGCAUGUACUGGAUACUUGAUAUAGUGGAUUGAUAAGGAUUGGGUCGAGACUUGUGAAUCCUAUAGUGCAGAGAAAAAGAUGGGCUCAAUGGUUGGUUUAAUGUUAAACAAAGAACGAGUGGCAUUUAGUCGAUAGUAAACAAUGAACGAGUGGCAAUCUAGUUGAUAGUGUAUAAGAAAACAAGUGAUACAUGUCAAACUUAGUGUAUACGACACUUAUGGACUAUAUGAUGAUAGUAAACCUAGAGGAUAGGGUACCCUCGAGUGGAGAGGAUUGGAUCAUGCUCACGGUCUAUUUUUUUUAACUUGUGAUGGAAGCCCCACACAAGAAGUGCGCUCCGGAGUUGGUCACAUGGGAUGGCCUAUUUUGGGUCCCAAGGGAUGGCCUAUUUUGGGUCCCGGCAGAUGGUCUCGGUUCGUAGUGCGAGUUGACCCCCCCUACCUUCGACAUGGCUAGUGAGCAGUAGGCGAGCCUUCAGGGAAGCCACGAGAUUAAUAAACAAGUAAAUGAGAUUGAUGAACAAGUACAUAGCUUUACUUUUUGGACAUGAUGACAGGUUAGUUGCUUACCAUUUCAUUGUACAUGCAUUCAUAUGUUUAUGAUUCGGGCAUAGUAGUGUAGCUUUACUAUCCUGUCUUUACAGCUUUGCUUUUUAUCUACCUAUCUAUCUGGUUAUCUACUUGUGCCCACUUGGACCUAGUGGGGAGACCGGCGGAGUCGGCUGCCGAACCCACUGGGAACUAAGGAAGUUAGUUCUCACCCCCCAUUUUACUACAGGGCCGAGCGCGAGCUUGCUCAGCGAGGAUCGCGGUAAGGGCCUAGCGCCCUAGUUGCAUUAGUUUACUUUCCUAUUUCUGCAUUAGAGUCACCUUUAUAUGCAUUGAGAGUAGAUGAUGUAUAGGAUGUGAGAUAUUCUGGAAUGAAUGUAAGCUAAUGUUUAUAUUUUGGAAGAUGUAAGCUUUAUAUUAUGUUUAGAAGCUUAAUGUAUAAUCAAGUUGUAUUAUAAAGGCUGAAUGAAUGUAAUAGAUAGAUGUUCCUCUCUUUAUCAUUACUUGUAUAUCUUAUACUUGUAUCUUGCUCUUAGUUGUUUAGCACUGAUUGUGCUCCCCUCGUAGUUGUUGAGUGAUCAUGUAUGUAUUCAAGUGAUUUCCUGGGAACUUGUUGUACAUGAUCUCGCUGUUGGCCUUGGGCGGACAGGGGAGGUGCUGUCCGUUCGGCGUCUGUUCGACGCGCCCGAACUGGACCAAAUUGGUAUCGAUUUCGGGGCGUGACAGAUAAAAGUGGUAUUAGAGUAGUUAAGAUCAAGUAAAGAGAGAAGUCUAGGAUGGACCUAGGGGACCCUAGGACGGUGAACCCUAAGGUUAUAGGUGCGUGAGUGACGUGAACCUAUACGGUGGCGAAAUUUGGAUCGAUUGGGUCAAGUUAGUAAACCUCUAAGAUGGAUGUUAGAGGUGGAUUCAAGGUUUUGUUUAUUCUCACCCGAGAGUGUUCAUGUUGGAUGCAUACAACAUGAAACUGAGUGGUGAGAAUAGGCACCCUUGUAUGACUUUCGCCCGAUUGAGUUGCGUUGGCUAGUAUUUGCGACGAAGUUAGUGGGUUAAGGUAAUUAACCGAGUCGUUGUGUUUCAGAAGCUAAUGGCACCAAGGAGACACUACGCGCGUAGAACCGUUCAGGCACUGCCUCCUGAGGUGCCUGAGCGAGCUGGGUCAAGUGAAGCUCAAGAAUUACGAGCGCGGGUGACUACGCUUAUCGGAGUGAUUCAACGCCAAGGAAGUCAGAUCGAGCGGCUCCAAGAGCUUUUGGAGCGACAAGUGGCGACGGCGGCCGUGACGGCAACUGAAGGCCAUGGUCCGUCUGCGCCCUCGGCUCGCGCGCCUAAUGCGCCUGAGGGCGUGAGCAUUUUGGUGACUCCGGCGGUGGCACAUCCCCUGCCGGCUAGUGUUCCUCUGGCGGCUUCGGGUCCUACGAUACUCGAUGCGGCAGCUGGGGAAGUGAGGCAGGAACGCGAGGCGUUCAAGGAGAGUGGAGUGAAGAAACGGCCUGGUGGUGGUUUGGGGGAACAGUCUAGUUCCAAAAAGGCCCCGAAGUACCAAAAGAGACGGUCUGUUAGCCAAGCACCUCAGCGAUGUGUGUUUUGCGGUGGAGAGCAUCGCGCAGGGACUUGUGAGCAUCGGGCGGGACGAUGCUUCAGGUGUGGUGAGGCGGGACAUAUGGCCCGUCAGUGCGCGGAAGGAGUGCCACCUGCCCCGUCAGUUGCAUCCGCCCCAGAGAUUCAGCGACAGUUUGGUGGAGUUCCGUCUGCUACUGCCGUAUCUGCGGGGUGUGUGAUUUGUGGAGGAUCCCACCAGGCGCGGCGGUGUGCGCUGCAAAAGGGAAGGUGUUUUCGUUGUGGGUAGUUUGGCCACGUGCAAUAUAGUUGCCCCUUGGGCGAUGGACGACUCCUGCCGACAGCGACGACAUUCACCUCUUCGGGACAGAUGGUGGAUGUGCAGCCUGUGGAACAGUCUGGAGAGCUAGGGGUGGUCGAGCAGCCGGAGGAUUCUCAGGGAGCGCCAAGCGGCCCUGGAUGCGCGGAUCAAGUCGAGGAACCUGCUGGUGUUGGUGAUGCUACCGCAGGUAUGAUUUAAUUAAAGCAAUCAUAUAUUCUAGCAAGAAGUAGUUUGAACAAUUGCAUGCAUUUGCUUUGUGGUCUUUCGCUACUAUUUAUAUGUUAGUAUAGUGGCGACCAGGACGUGGGUUAGUGUACCUACUCUAGUAUGCAUAGGUUGUAGUAGUAUGUCACCUAAAGGGGAUUGGUGAUUAGUCAGUACCGGCAAGUUGCUGGUGACGAACCGAGAGUGAGACUCCCUUUGGGGAUCUGUGCGUUGUAGGGUGAGGCGGGGUACGCCUAGCCGUGCGUUGUUUGCAAACAAUCGGCAAAGGUGUGGUAGAAAGGCAUUCGAUGGAAUCGAUUGCCUGGCCUCCCUUCUGUGGUCAGGGAUGAGUUCAGGGAUUGGUAUCCUCUGUUCACUUCCCCGACGGUGAGAGAGGAAAGCUUCAAGAAAGGUUUCCAAAGCUGUGGCAGGUAAACUGCACUGUGAGACGAUACGAGCGGGAGUUCUCCCUUGUCGUGAAAUGCAUCCCGAACGUAGUGCGGGAUGAUGAGGACAUGGCCGAAUUGCUUGUGCGGAGAUUUCGGCCGGGCGUUGUUAAGGUCGUGUAUGUAAGGAAAGUGGAUUCUCGAAAUCCGUGGAUUUGACUUCGUCAAAAAUCGGCUAAUUGUCGAGUGUGUAGGCUUCGGAGAAGCCGAAUGUCACGCCCCGGGAUCGGCAGAGGCCCUCCCGGGAGCGCGCCCAGACCCGCCAUAUGUCUACACAUAUAAGGCGUCUACAAUAAAAGCGGAAGUAAAAGCAAAAAUAAUCUACAACUAGAGAUAUCAGAGCAAAUAUAAUUCUAUCAUCUAUAAGGAGAGAGUACAAAGAUCACAACUAAACCAUAGAAGUAAAAUAUAAGGGAAUACAAUAUCUGUCCAAAAGUACACAAAAGGGGUGGUCUCUAGUACACUGGUACAGCUCUCAACCUCUUCAAAAUAAAAACAUCGAGAGGUAGACCACCUAGCGACUCGUCACUCGCUGAAGAGCUAGCUCGAAGCCACGCCCUUCCCUCGGUCCCUAGCCUCUCCCGGCGUGGAAGGCUCUGAAAGAAAACAUAAAACAGAGGGCGUGAGAACUAUAAUUUAUAGUUCCCAGUGGGCAAUUACUGACCUCAGCUCAAUGCACCACUAGGCCCCAAAAGAAAAGGGUAAGUAACGACAAUAAUAAUAAGCAAUAAAGAGCGAGUAUAAGAACUGCUGAAAGAAAGCAUAAAUGAAAUGCUAUACUACUUAUGUUUCAAGUAAGCAUGAUAUCAGGGGAUGUAACAUCUACGCUAUCAUAAGAUAAUAUGUCCAAUGCAUAGGAGUAAGCUCUAUCAAAGCACCCAGUAUACUAUGAUGUAAUGAAUGAAACAAGCAAGUUAUACUAUAUAUAGUAUCCAAUGCCUUGUCAUUGAGCAUGUCAAGUAAUCCAACUACUAAGCCUAUCUAGUAGUGAUUAUACAUCUCAACACUUGUGCUCGAUUUCCAUUUCCAAUUAAGGACCUACCAAGUUAGUCCAGCUGUUGCCGCCUAAGUGGCCUAUGGUAGCCCAACAUCCCCACUCUUGGAAUGUGUAUGUCCCACGUCGACCGCUGGCUUCUCAAUACCGCACAGCGAACAUAAGUCGCGUAGGCUAACUCCGGAGUGCCGGCUUUAGGGAGCGCCCUCAUAAGCAUGUGCGAAUGAGCACAAAUGGCAAACAAGCAUAGUCAACGUCUCAAGUAUCCAAUCCUCAUGUCUUAACAUGGUAUCGUCACUAGCAUCCCAAAUCUAGUUAAGUCACAAGGGUGAAUUCUAACAUUCACUACGCCUAGUGCCCCUUGAUGACACUUAGACAAUUUAAUGUUCAACAUAAUCAAAUCCCUCAAUGGCCUAACACUAGUUCACACAUACCGAGCUCAAUGCGCUUGAUGACAUUAGCUCUUAAUUCACAAUACAUUCUAGUUCGAUGCCUCUUAUAUGGCAAUUUGUUAUUUUCAUGUCUCAAAUAAACCUAGGUUUAAAUAUAUGAAUCAAAGCUUAUUUCAUUAUAAGGAACAUGGCCAACAUGAGAAUUGCUAAACAAUCAACCAUAAGCUUCAUAUGCGACUCUCUAUACAAGAAGUCAAAAUUGCACUAAUAUGUAACAUAGGAAUUUAAGCAUUCAAAAUUCACAAUAUAAAUACAUAUAACAAGAAUAUGCAUGCUUUUCAUUUUACAACACUUAAAUCAUCAACAAUGAGAUUUUCUCAUUGUGGCUAGGUCAAACCACCGAACCAUCGCGCAGUGCUCGUUUACGCCGAACGAAGUUGUCCACGGUCUCAAAAUACCCUAAAAGUAUUGAACGAAGAGAUUGUCACGCCCCGGACCAGCGGAAGCCGCCAGCACGUGCCCAGACCCGCAUACGUCUAAACAUAUAAGGCGUCUAAAACACGGAUAAUAAAGCAGUAAUAGAGAACAUCUAGGAGUAUCAGAGCAUGUUAAGUUUUAGUUUCUACAUCCAGGUAAGAAGUAUAAAGCUGAAAUAUACUAAGUAAAACAUAAAGUCAGUACAAAGAAAAUUCCAAAUACAAGUGCUAAAGGAAAGAGUCAUGGGUGGUCUCUAUACAUGGAUACAAAAACCUCUCACUCUCUCUAGUACAAAAGAAUGACAAAAAACCACCUAGGGUAAACACAAGCUCUGCGGCCUAACUAGCUAGGCGAUCCCCUUGCCGCGAUCCCGUGCUCGCCUGUGCAGAAGGCUCUGAAAUGAAAACCACAAACGGGGGCGUGAGAACUAUUAAAAAUAGUUCCCAGUGGGCAAUUACUGACUUCAGUGAACUGCACCACGAGACCCAAAAGCUACAAAAAGAAGGUCAGUGUAUGAGUACAAUAAAAGCAGUAAAUGCAACUGACAAUUAAACAUGAAUGCUUGCUACCAUAGGCUACUUCUACUUAGCAUGAAUUUGGCAUAAGUAAGAAAGCUAUUUUAGUCAAUAUACUAAGCCGUCAUCUGUCCACAUGUCAUAGUGAAGUACCCGAAGUCAAAUAUGAAGAGACCCACCCGAAGGCUGUCUAAGGCCCUGAGACCCACUCGUAGGCUGUCUGGCCGGUGCCGAGCCUAGUGGCCCCGUGGUAGUCAUCAUCCCCACCCUAGGGAUGAGCCUGGCCCACGGCAAUCCAUUUCGGCGCCCAAUCCCGCACGGCGAAUAUGAAUCGCGAUGGCUAUCUCCGGAGUGCCAGCUUGUAGGGAGCGACCCUCACAAGCAUGUGCAAAUGAGCACAAUGGCAAAUAGUCAUAUGUCUAGUCACAAGUACCAAGUCCUCAUGUCUAAUAACAUGGAAUGUAUCGAAUGUCCCAAAGGCCUAUCUCUAUGUCAUCCUGUCUCUAAAUUGCAUUUUCAUAGUUUACUAAUUCCAAGUGCCCCUUUAUGACACUUUUGUUCAACGAGUUCCAAGCGUGGCAUUAAUAUGUUCACGAUGCAAUCCCACUCAAUUCUAGCAAAGAGACAUGUUCUCACUUGCAAAAUCAAACACCAUCCACAAUGCAUGCAAUCAACACCUAUAGCUCUACUAUAUAGAGUGCAAAUUUUAUGAUACAUAAUGCAUGCAUUUUAAGGGUUCCGAAGUUCACAUAAAUCAUGUUUAACACGGAUUUGCAUUCAAAAAUACUUUACGAAGAAUUUAGAAAGCAUAGGGGCCAUUUUGCCCCAUUUUCAUGAAGUCAAACCCACCAACGGUAAACGAAACCCUUCGUUUGCCCCAACGAAGGUGUCCUCUAGCCUCCUAGUACCCUAGAGGUAUGAAAACAAGUCUCACUUAGUCGAAACGAACGACGCUAAGCUCAAUCAUUAAGCAUUUAGGGCUAGGGUUGAAGAAAACUCACCGAUUGCGAAGAAAGCUCUCACAAUCUUCAAAUGGGAGCUAGAGUCCUUCCAAUCAAACCUAAACAAAGGUUCUAAACUCAUCAAAUAGGUUUCAAAGCCCUCAAAUCCAAAAAGCCCCAAAUCUAACCCUAGAACCCCAAUCUAGGGUUUCAUCAAGCAAAAAGCUCCAAAAUUAGGAUCUAGAGGAGAAGAACUAGUCACAUACCUCUAGAAAGCUCCAAACCAAGUCCAAAAUCCUCCUAGGUUGAAGAUUGGCCCACCACCAAGCUCCAACCGCAAGCUCCAAGCCACCAAGGGUGAGAAGAGAGAAGGGUUGGUGCUUCAAGGCCUCCAAGCUUGAUCUCCUUCUCCUCCUCUUCUUCUUUUUCUCCUUUCUCUCCUUCUUCUUCUCUAUCUAGAGUGCAAAGGGCUGAGAGAAAUGAGGGAAAGAGAGAGGAGAAAGGCUCUCUAUAGCCUCUAAAGUAACAAAAUCCUGAUAAGCCCCUCAAAAACUCAAAUUUACAUCAGCCCGAACUGGGCAGUUUUCGCCCAGAGGGACCGGUCUCUCCCCAGCAGGGACCGGUCUCUCGCUGCGAACCCGAAAAACCAAUGUUCGGGAACCGGUCUCUCCCUGCGCGGGACCGGUCUCUCCCCGCGCAGACGCGCUCGGGGACCGGUCUCGACUGCCAGGGACCGGUUGCCUCGCCAGUUGCGCAGCACUGUGCUGAGGGGACCGGUCUCUCAUAUCAGGGACCGGUCCCCGAGAGUGAAAACUCUCAGGACUAGCCAAAACUUUAGAGAUCGAACUUUUAGGCCGGUAUACCAUCGACGGCCCUCCACCAAGUGUGGAAAAGUUCGGAAUACAUAUCGAACACUCGAACUUCGCAAUUUACAAAGAUCUAGUGUGCUACAGAGAUACACGGGCAUUACGAUCAACUAUAAGAUCAAACAUUAACCUAGAAGCAAAAGGGGCCAAAACUCACCUCAAAAGAAGAAAUCUCUUCCAAAGCUCCAAAAGAGAGCUUGAACCCUUCCAAUCCAAGCCCAAGGAAGGUUCUAAACCAAAGAAUCUAGCUCCAAAAGCCCUAAAUUCGAAACGCCCAAAAUAAACCCUAAGUUCUCAUUCUAGGGUUCCAUCUACUAUAAAGCAUCAAAACCAAAAUCUACAGGGAGAGAAUAAGCCACCAACCUCUUAGAAGCUUCAAUCUAAGCUCAAGGUUCUCAAACUUCAAGGAUCCACCCUCACCAAGCCUCAAGUCCAAGCUCCAAGGGUGAAGAAGCCUCAAAAGAAGCAAAAGAGAGCAAAAAAGGGGGUUUAAUCUCUUAAAAACCCAACCAAAAUCAAAGAAAUGGAGAGGGAGGGUGUGAAGGCUCCCUUACCUCUUCUCCCUGCAGGUGCCAAGCUCAGGGGAGCUCUAGGGGCGUGGGUGAUACAAAUAGAGAUGCCACAAUCGCGAAAAACCCCCUGCAGUUCAAACUGCUCAAAACUAUCUCUGCGUACCGGUACACGGGCCCACGUACCGGUACACCUCCCACGAAACUGCCAAACCCGAGCCUCGGGUUGGCUGAGAAGCAGCCAAUGUUGAUGGCUAUACCGGUAUAGCCAUCACCCCGUACCGGUACACAGCCCUCUGAAGGCUACCCGAGAGCUAACCAAAAAUUCGAUUUUUCGGGUUUUGGUGCUAGACUUUAAACCUCAAUUCUCGGGACUCGAACCACGGGUCGGAACACUGUCUACGACCCUCCACAAAGUGUGGAAAAGCUCGGAACACAACCAAUCACUCGAACCUCGCAAUUUGCAAUGGUCCAGUGUGUUACAUUCACCCCUCCUAAAAAGGAGUUUCGUCCGCGAAACUCGAAAUGACAAGUACCUCAAGCCUCCAUCUGAAAAAGAUGGGGAUAGGGCUCCCUCAGUGCGCUCUCCAGCUCCCAAGUGGCCUCGCGCUCGUCGUGGUUGCUCAAAAGCACCUUCACGUAAGAAAUUUUUCGGUUCCGUAAUCUUUUCACCUCGCGAGCCAAAAUCCUCAAAGGUUGCUCCUCAAAGCUUAAGUCCUCUCUCAGCUCCAAAGGCGUAGCGUCCACAACAUGAGCUGGGUCGUGGAUGUACCUCCGAAAGACCGAUACAUGGAAUACAUUGUGUGCACCGAUAGGUUCAGCGGUAGAGCAAGUCUAUAUGCUACCGGGCCUACACGCUCCAAAACCUCAUAUGGUCCAAUGUAUCGGGGGCUCAACUUACCCCGGAUUCCAAAUCUUCUAAUCCCUCGAGUCGACGAGACUUUUAAGAAGACAUGGUCUCCAAUCUGAAACUCCAAGUCUCGUCGCCGCUUGUCAGCAUAACUCUUUUGCCUACUCUGGGCCGUCAACAGUCGCUAAGCUCCGUGAGAUACCUGCCUUCACAUCUAGCGGUGAAGUAACCUCACUUCAACCGCUCUCUAACCGAAAUCCGGGACUACACGAGGUCCUUCGUCUCCUGUUCCAAGCGUAACGAAACUNGCAAUGCGAACCUUGUCCUCUGCUUCCUGGAGCACAUCAGGGCCUAAAGCCAAUCUCUCGCCAACUUCACUCCAAUGAAGUGGCGAUCUACACUUCCGUCCAUAGAGUGCCUCGAACGGUGCCAUCUUGAUGCUUGCUUGAUAACUGUUGUUAUAAGCAAACUCUGCCAUCGGUAGAUGCUGCGACCAUCCUCCCUAGAAGUGAAUCACACAAGCUCGAAGCAUAUCCUCGAGAGUCUGUAUCGUACGCUCCGACUGCCCGUCACUCAGGGGGUGGAAAGCAGUACUGAAGUCCAAGCGCGUACCCAGAGCAUCCUGUAAGCUCCUCCAAAAGUGGGAUACAAAACGGGGGUCUCGAUCCGAUACUAUAGAAGUAGGCACCCCGUGCAAUCGCACAAUCUCUCCAAAUAAACCUGUGCGAGUCUCUCACCAGUCCAAGUAGUGUGGACAGGUAUGAAAUGUCCUGAUUUCGUCAAUCUAUCCACAAUCACCCAAAUAGCGUCAUGCCCGGCCUGCGAGCGGGGCAAUCCCAUCACAAAGUCCAUAGUGAUCUUCUCCCAUUUCUAUACGGGUAUCGGUAAACUCUGCAGCUUUCCCAUAGGAACUCGGUGCUCAGCUUUCACCUGUUGGCAAGUUAAGCAUCUAGCAACAAACUCACCAACAUCCUUUUUCACCCCGGGCCACCAAUAAAGCAACUUCAAGUCCUUGUACAUCUUGGUGCCUCCCGGAUGUAUAGCAUACGGUGCUCGGUGUGCUUCAUGAAGAAUAUCCUCUUUAAUGCCCAAGUACGCCGGUACACAAAGUCGUCAGCGAAAACGCAUAAAUCCCACACCGUCUAAAGUGAAGUCACCGGUGCAACCAUCAACCAUCUUAGCUUGAAUCUUUUGCAACUCUACAUCGUGAGUUUGCUUUUCCCUGAUCCUCUCCAAAAGAGUAGGUUGCACCGCCAAAGUCAUCAGCCUCAAAGGUGUAUCAGGAGCCACCACCUCCAACUCCAACCGCUUCAUCUGCUCGAUCAACGGCGGUUGAGUAACCACAAGCAUCGCUAAGUUUUCCGUCGAUUUCCUACUUAGCGCAUCAGCCACCACGUUAGCCUUGCCUGGGUGGUAGAGUAUCGUCAAAUCAUAAUCCUUGAGUAGCUCCAACCAUCUGCGCUGCCUCAAGUUCAACUCCUUCUGAGUGAAUAGAUAUUUUAAGCUCUUGUGAUCCGUAUAUACUUCGCAUCGCUCGCCGUAUAAGUAGUGGCGCCAUAGCUUCAAUGCAAAGACCACGGCUGCCAACUCUAAGUCGUGAGUAGGGUAAUUCCUUUCAUAAUCCUUCAAUUGGCGAGAUGCAUACGCGAUCACUUUUCCGUCCUGCAUCAAAACAUAGCCCAAUCCGUUAAAGGAAGCAUCACUAUAAAUCACAUACCCUGCUCUAGCUGUCGGCAAGGUAAGGAUCGGGGCGGUCGUUAAUCUCUGUUUCAACUCCUGGAAGCUCCUUUCACACGCAUCAUUCCAAAUGAACUUGGUGCCUUUAUGCGUGAGCCUCGUGAGGGGGGUAGACAACUUUGCAAAUCCCUCGACAAACCGCCGGUAGUAGCCGGCCAAACCAAUGAAGCUUCGUAUCUCAGUCACGCUCGUCGGCCUCGGCCAAUCCUUGAUAGCUUCAAUUUUCCUAGGAUCCACAGCUAUCCUGAUCCUGAAAUCAAAUGGCCCAAGAAUGCCACCUCUCUAAGCCAAAACUCACACUUUUUCAACUUGGCAUAAAGCUUCUUUUUCCGAAGCACUUGAAAUACUAGUCUCAAGUGUUCCUCGUGAUCCGCAUCACUUCGGGAAUAGACCAAAAUGUCGUCGAUGAACACCACGACGAACCUGUCUAAAUAAGGCUUGAAAACACGGUUCAUUAAAUCCAUAAAAGUUGCCGGGGCAUUAGUAAGCCCAACGGCAUAACGGUAAACUCAUAAUGUCCAUACCGUGUUCUAAAAGCCGUCUUCGAUACAUCCUCAGGUCUGAUCCUCAACUGGUGGUAUCCCGACUGCAAGUCGAUCUUGGAAUACACACAAGAUCCCUGGAGCUGAUGAAAUAGAUCAUCAAUCCUCGGUAAUGGAUACUUGUUCUUGAUCAUGACUUUGUUAAGUUCACGAUAGUCCACGCACAAACGAAGUGAUCCAUCAUUCUUCUUCACAAAUAGGACCGGUGCUCCCCAAGGUGACACACUUGGUCGCACAAAACCCUUGUCUAGAAGAUCCUGUAACUGUGCCUUCAGCUCUCUCAAUUCUGCUGGUGCCAUCCUAUAGGGUGCCUUUGAGAUUGGAGUAGUCCCGGGAACGAGAUCUACCACAAACUCAAUCUCCCUGUCAGGUGGCAUGCCUGAAAGCUCCGCUGGAAACACAUCUCCAAACUCCCGCAUUACGGGGAUAUCCUCAAUCCUAGGGGCGUCAUCCUCACCUCGCAACACAACAGUAGCCAAGUAGGCUACACAGCCUCUACCUAUUAACUGCCGAGCUCGAGAAGAGCUAAUCGUCAUCGCAAAAAGUGAACUCUGGCAUCCUCGGUACACAACCUCCGCCUGCCCCGGCUCUCUAAACGUCACCGUUCGAUCCUUGCAAUCGAUGGUGGCAAAGUACUUGGUCAACCAAUCCAUGCCCAACACAACAUCAAACUCCCCGAGUUUAUGCAAAGCUAGCAAGUCCGCGGGCAUGAUCCAAUCUCCAACCCGAACAGGGCAACUGGGGCAAAACUCCCGAAUGUCCAAAGAAUGAUCGGGUACAACAACUCGUCCCGGAUGCAACAAGGAUACAAGUGGGAUGCCAUGCAACUCGGCAAACAGUCGGUUUAUGAAUGAAUGCGAUGCACCGGUAUCAAACAAUGCUCUAACUCGAAUACCAUAAAGUAAAAUAAUACCUGCGACCACAUUCUCGGCUGCCGCCGCCUCCUCAGUCUGGGCCGCAUACAUGCGGCCGCUCGGGGCCUGUCGUGACCCCUCCGCCUGUCGCUGAACAGGUGGCCGUCCGACCUGGUGAUGCGCGGAAGAUGUCCCCUGGCUGGGACCUGGCGAUGCUGGUGCAGAUGCCGAAGAUGGCGCUGGCAAUGGACUCCUCGGACAGUCCGACUGGAAGUGGCCCUCCUGGCCACACAGGAAGCACCUGCCCCGGCUGCGUGAACACUAUCGCCGGUAGUGGGGACCACCACAGAUCACGCAGCGGGGAGCCUGGCGACGAUCGGGUCCUCCUCGCUGAGUAGACGAGCCACGUCCUCGCGACUGGCUCCGGCUCCUGGGGUGCCUCAGCGGCCUCCGUGAGUGCGUCUGACUCGCACCCUCAGCUAGAGGCCUCUUGCCCUUCCCUUUCUCCGAGCUCUCGCGACGCUCCUGCAGAUCCACCGCUCCUGCCUCCACUAUCAACGCUCGAUCCACAACCUCCCGAUAGGUCUGGAGGUUGGAAGACUACACCAACCGGAAGAUAGAAGGCCGCAAACCGCGCUAAAAAAUACGGGCCUUGUCCUCGUCAUCCCUCACAACAAACGGUACACAGUGAAGUAGCCGGGAGAACUCCCUCUCGUACUCGGCCACUGUUCGCUCGUCCUGGCGCAAGCUGCGCAAAUCCUGCUCCAUCUUCCUCUUGACGCUGGUCGGAAAGUAAUGCGCUAGAAGAAGCUCCUUGAACCUCGUCCAAGUAAUCGCUGCCAAGUCGGUGUUGGGGUUGUCCUGAAUAUCCAACCACCAACGGUAGGCCUCGCCGUCAAGAAAGUGAGUGGCAAGCCAAACUCUGUCCCGCUCCUCCACAAAGGUGUCUCGAAAAAGCUUCUCCAUGUGCAUCAACUACUUCUCAACAAUCCAGUGGUCGACGUUCUCGCCAUCAAACGUCCUUGGGCUGCACCUCCUGAACUCACUGAGGCGAUCCAUGAGUCGAUCCCGCUCGGCUCCCUCGGCCCUCACGAGGAAAGCCGCCCCCGUGGCCGGUCUCUGAACUGGGUGUGCCGCAGCCACCUCCUCCCGAGGUGUGGUUGCCGGUGCCGCACGGGAAGAACUGGGCGCGGGGGACUGCGCUCUCGGUGCGAUGUCCACCAUGGGUGCUGGCGGUGUGGGAACCUGGGUCUCCCUCGAAGCUGCCGCCUGCUGGAGUAGGAGGUCCUCAAGUUGCUUCAUCCGCGCCUCCUGUCGCUGAGCCACCUCAGCCUGUCACUGCGCCACUGCCGUCUGCUGCGCCAACAGAUCAGUGAGAACUGCAAGCUGGGUCCUCAAGUCACGGACCUCACUAGAUCCGGAAGUAGCGGAGGUCUCGACCUCCUUAGGGUGUGCUGCAUCAUCCGCCCCGGCAGACUGGGAGCGUGUAACCGGCAUCGUCACUACAAAACAUAAAAGCGCAAGUUAGUAACCCACGCUAUCGCAUCCCCGCUCAAAUAAGUAAGUACUCAAAUCAUGCGAAAGUAAGAAAGUGUCCUUCACUACUAACUCCCGAUGUUACGUUGUCUGCCGCCAACGUAACCCUCCGCGAAGUUAGAAGUCAUACACUCCGAUCGAACUCUAACUUUUUAGAGUUAUCUUCAAACCCAAUCGAAAUACUUUCGCUAACAAUUCAAUUGGACCUCGUCUCUCGCGAGCCUAUUUUCUAUAAUCCAACUGGCCUAAGGUUUGCAAGGUCCUUUAAGACUCAACCCUAGGCUCUGAUACCAAAUUAAUCUGUCACGCCCCGGGAUCGGCAGAGGCCCUCUCGGGAGCGCGCCCAGACCCGCCAUAUGUCUACACAUACAAGGCGUCUACAAUAAAAACGAAAGUAAAAGCAAGAAAUAAUCUACAACUAGAGAUAUCAGAGCAAAUAUAAUUUUAUCAUCUAUAAGGAGAGAGUACAAAGAUCACAACUAAACCAUAGAAGUAAAAUAUAAAGUAAUACAAUAUCUGUCCAAAAGUACACAAAUGGGGUGGUCUCUAGUACACUGGUACAGCUCUCAACCUCUCCAAAAUAAAAACAUCGAGAGGUAGACCACCUAGCGACUCGUCACUCGCUGAAGAGCUAGCUCGAAGCCACGCCCUUCCCUCGGUCCCUAGCCUCUUCCGGCGUGGAAGGCUCUGAAAGAAAACAUAAAACAGAGGGCGUGAGAACUAUAAUUUAUAGUUCCCAGUGGGCAAUUACUGACCUCAGCUCAAUGCACCACUAGGUCCCAAAAGAAAAGAGUAAGUAACGACAAUAAUAAUAAGCAAUAAAGAGCGAGUAUAAGAACUGCUGAAAGAAAGCAUAAAUAAAAUGCUAUACUACUAUGUCUCAAGUAAGCAUGAUGUCAUGGGGAUGUACAUCUACGCUAUCAUAAGAUAAUAUGUCCAAUGCAUAAGGAGUAAGCUCUAUCAAAGCAACCCAGUAUACUAUGAUGUAAUGAAUGAAACAGGCAAGUAUACUAUAUAUAUCCCAAUGCUAUGUCAUGAGCAUGUUAAGUAAUCCAACUACUAAGCCUAUCUAGUAGUGAUUAUACAUUCUCAACACUGUGUCGAUUUCCAUUUCCAAUUAAAGACCUACCAAAGGUAGUCGAGCUUGUGCCGCCUAAGUGCCUGUGGUAGCCGAACAUCCCCACUCUUGGAAUGUGUCUGUCCCACUCGACCCCGUAGGCUUCUCAAUACCGCACGAGCGAACAUAAGUCGCGUAGGCUAACUCCGGAGUGCCGGCUUGUAGGGAGCGACCCUCAUAAGCAUGUGCGAAUGAGCACAAAUGGCAAACAAGCAUAGUCAACGUCUCAAGUAUCCAAUCCUCAUGUCUCUAACAUGGUAUCGUCACUAGCAUCCCGAAAAUCUAGUUUAAGUCACAAGGUGAAGUUCUAACAUUCACUACGCCUAGUGCCCCUUGAUGACACUUAGACAAUUUAAUGUUCAACAUAAUCCAAAUCCCUCAAUGGCCCUAACCACUAGGUUCACACAUAUCCCGAGCUCAAUGCCGCUUGAUGACAUUAGCUCUCUAAUUCACAUACAUUCUAGUUCGAUGCCUCUAUAUGGCAAUUUUGUCAUCUUUCAUGUCUCAAAUAAACCUAGGUUUAAAUACAUGAAUCAAAGCUUAUUUUCAUUAUAAGGAACAUGGCCCAACAUGAGAAUGCUAAACAAUCAACCAUAAGCUUCAUAUGCGACUCUCUAUUACAUAGAAGUCCAAAAUUGCACUAUAUGUAACAUAGGCAUUUUAAGCAUUCUAAAAUUCACAAUAAAUACAUAUAACAAGAAUAUGCCAUUGCUUUUUCAUUUACAAUACUUUAAAUCAUCACACAAUGAGGUUUUUUCAUUGUGUGGCUAGGUCAAACCCACCGAACCGUCGCGUAGUGCCUUGUUUCGCCGAACGAAGUUGUCCAUGAGUCUCAAAAUAUCCUAAAAGUACUGAGCGAAAAGAUACACGGGCAUUACGAUCAACUAUAAGAUCAAACAUUAACCUAGAAGCAAAAGGGGCCAAAACUCACCUCAAGAGAAGAAAUCUCUUCCAAAGCUCCAAAAGAGAGCUAGAACCCUUCCAAUCCAAGCCCAAGGAAGGUUCUAAACCAAAGAAUCUAGCUCCAAAAGCCCUAGAUUCGAAACGCCCAAAAUAAACCCUAAGUUCUCAUUUUAGGGUUCCAUCUACUAUAAAGCAUCAAAACCAAAAUCUAGAGGGAGAGAAUAAGCUACCAACCUCUUAGAAGCUUCAAUCCAAGCUCAAGGUUCUCAAACUUCAAGGAUCCACCCUCACCAAGCCUCAAGUCCAAGCUCCAAGGGUGAAGAAGCCUCCAAAGAAGCAAAAGAGAGCAAAAGAGGGGGUUUAAUCUCUUAAAAACCCAACCAAAAUCAAAGAAAUGGAGAGGGAGGGUGUGAAGGCUCCCUUACCUCUUCUCCCUACAGGUGCCAAGCUCAGGGGAGCUCUAGGGGCGUGGGUGAUACAAAUAGAGAUGCCACAAUCGCGAAAAACCCCCUGCAGUUCAAACUGCUCAAAACUGUCUCUGCGUACCGGUACACGGGCCCACGUACCGGUACACCUCCCACAAAACUGCCAAACCCGAGCCUCGGGUUGGCUGAGAAGCAGCCAAUGUUGAUGGCUGUACCGGUACAGCCAUCACCCCGUACCGGUACACAGCCCUCUGAAGGCUACCCGAGAGCUAACCAAAAAUUCGAUUUUUCGGGUUUUGGUGCUAGGCUUUAAACCUCAAUUCUCGGGACUCGAACCACAGGUCGGAACACUGUCUACGACCCUCCACAAAGUGUGAAAAAGCUUGGAACACAACCAAUCACUCAAACCUCGCAAUUUGCAAUGGUCCAGUGUGUUACACCGAAGAUGUCUAACUCACCAAAAGUGCGUUCGAGUUGGAGUCCACGAGAGCAAAUAGUGUAAAGUCUGCACUUAGCGGAGUUGCUCUCGGGGACCGGUCCCUGGCAGAGAGGGACAAGUCCCCGUAGCCAAUGGUUGCGGGGUUGCUUCAUGCAACCAGUCCCUGGAUCUGAGGGACCGGUCCCCCCGUGUGCGAAAUCGGCGAGAAGCAAAAAAUUGACUGAGUCCCGAAAAUGCCCCUCUCGGGAACCGGUCUCUCAGCAGGAACCGGUCUCCCGAGGACCGAUCUCUCGGGCAAGGACCGGUCCCCGUAGCUCGAAAUUGCCCAGUUUGGGGCAAUGCACAUUCUUGAGUUCAAUCGCAAUCCCGAACCUCGGAGGUGCCUUUGUUGACUUCCUUGAGAUGCGGGAUUGUGGGAGUUCUCACCGAGCACGGUAGUGUGCGUUGCGUGGUGAGAUAGGCGUUCGUGCAGUUGAUUGCAGGGUCGUGUUGUAGGCGGUAGCCUCUUCCUCUCCGAGAUAGUUUGUGGAUGUGAAGUCUACAGAGUGGUCUAGAGAACGAGUGGUAAGGAAGCGACAAUGAAGGGUUCGCGGUGGGCACUGAGUGACCGUGAUUACGCGGCCCUAGUCGGGGGACCUUGCAUGCAAUUAUCAUGUAGUCGCUUACUACCGUUGGUACAUCAACGUAGCAAGAACCAAAGAGACGGGCAAGUGUAAAUACCCGAGCAUGCUUGCACGUGAGGGUGUAACGCUUGCUGGAGUAGAUGGAGGGCUAGACGGUACUAGCAAAUUACUAGUAGUGGAUUCUAGACAGGAAGUGAGACUCGUGGGAAAGACAAAACGGUGAAGCGACUCUCAAGACAACAGGUAGUUGGUUGCGAGAGUUGAGCCGUGAUACUUGUGCAUAACCGAGCAAUUCGAGUGUCUCGGAUGUAGUUCCGAUAGUUUGAACAGUGAAAGUAGGAUCACUGCUGAGAGAGUGGUUGGUUGAUUAUCGAGUUACGGCCUCGAAUUGAGAUGGCUGAGUCAUGCUUGUGUGGCCAUGUGCUAGGGCAGAAGUGCCUAAGGCUCGAAUUUAGAGUAGAGCGCUAGAGAGGCAUACGACGUGCGAGUGAAGAUACUCAUAGAGUACGGAUUUGCUUCAGCGAGAGAGUGUGUUGGCUGUAGCACUUUAGCGUUGCUAAGUGUGAAGCGGGCCAUGGAACACUCGUAGGGCUGGUGGCUCACACUAGGUGCUUAGGCACUUAGGAGCCGGUAAUGGUACGUGUAACUCAUGGAGUAUGUCGUGUAAGACGACAACGGCGGGUAGUGCUUGAAGACGACCCGUAUCUAGACCAAUUGUGGACUGUGAAGCCUGGGCCCUUUAGGUAGGCGCAGUCAGCUGCAAGUGACAGCGGCCUGAUACCUAUGGGUAGGGCAUAGUUUGGUCAGGUUGGUAGUCCGAGCUUAGACCCGGGAGCGUGAAAUGCCACGUAUUUGAUCAUAAGAUCGAGGAUACACCGAGUGUGUAGUGACCCAACCCGAGGACUUGAUUGAGUUUGGGGUCAUAAUUACCCCUGGUUCAAGUGUGUGCGAAUUCCUAAGUGAGAAUUUCGUCCGGUUAUAAUUGGGUCUGCGCUUGCGAGCGAGAGACAGUACGAGUAUCGAGACAGGAUAGGCGGUAGACCUACGUAAGAUUGGUGGCCUGUAGUCCACCUGUGGAAACCGAGAUAAGCGAUUUAGUCGACAACUCUAUUGAGAGGUUUGGCCGGGAUUUGCGAACGGGUGCUUAGGUAAAUUCGUUGUGAGAGCAAGCUUGACGUUGGCCAUGGCAAAUGGGAUUAGAAGUAAAGUGAUCUCUAGGAGACGCUUAGAUGGUGGAUAGCCACGUGAGGAUUGAAGUUGAUGCUCUCCAAUGGAUUGGAGCCUGCGGAUAAUGCUCAUUCAAGGAUUGAGAUUCGAGAUGUGCUAGAGUGGGCUAUCUCGUGAUGGAGCAAGGAUCUAGUCGAGGAUUGAAGCACUCGCGAUUGGUCGACGCACCAAUGAUAUUGCUUUUAGGCAAUGCCGGUGAUCGGAUUGGAGUGUAAUCCUUAGAUUCUAUAGCGAGUGGUGUUGGAGCACUAGGGGUCGUCAUAUAUCGACUUGCGCUGCCGCCAUGGCUUGCGAAGGUAGUAAUGCACUUUUGGAGUUGCGUUUAGCCAAUGUGAGUGAAGUUGGCCUCACAUCCUCCUUAGCGAACCUUUAAAUAGUUCCAAUGAGUGAAAGACCACUCCGAGAUGCGAAAGUGCAUUGCAACCCCCGAUUACUCGAUGAGUAAAUGGAGGUGUGAAUUGGAGUUCGGGUUGUUUGAGUUUCAAGGACGAAACUCUUAUUAAGGAGGGGAGGAUGUAAGGUACCGGACUUCUAAAAUCAUGAGGUUACGGUGUACAUUUGGUUGGAAAGCCAUUUGAAUGGUUCCGAUGAAGUUCGGUGAAGCUCGGAAGCAUUCGAGCGUUUCGGUGCGCGUAGGCGUGUAAACGGGACCCGAAAGGAUACGUUGUGCCGCAAACUAAAUCCGGCAUUUGCAGGGAUGAAAACAUGAUGUAAAUACGCUCGAAAUCAUGUUUUGAGAGUCUCGGUUCGAUUUGAGACGAAUCGGAAGUCAAACGGGUGAAAACGGAGCGAAACGGAGCAAAAUGGGCAAAAGCUGAAAAUUGCAGUUUUCUGGUCCAUUGGGGACCGGUCCCUGCAUGGGAGGACCGGUCCCCGAACCCGAAAAUGCCCAUUUUGGGCUGUUUGAGAGGCUAAGAGUUGAGGGGGCUUAUUGCACUUGUUACAUGAGUUGGAGACAAAGAGAGGGGAUGGCCCUCUCUCUUUCUCAUUCUCCCUCAACCGUGGCCCUCCCUCUCUCUCUAAAACUCUCUCUUUCUCUCUCUAAGAAGUGGAGCAAGAAGGUGGAGAUAGAGGAGAAAGCUUGAAGAAGUGGGCUUCAUCUUCUUCUUCUUCCUCUUUAGGCCAUUGGAGCAAGCUCUAAGGUAAGCUUUUGAUGCUCAACAAUGGUAGCUUUCUAUAGUUCGGGUUUUGAACUCUAAGAAUGGGUUUAGAGAUAUUCUAGCAUGCUAAUUAGAGGUUUGAUGCUUGAAUUCUAAGCUUUAAUGGUGGAUUUAGCCUAGUUGUAAACCUAGGGCUUAAAAUGGGUCUUCAUUCAUAGAUCAUGGGUUUUGAUCUCUAGAAAUGGUAUGUUUGGAAUCCUAGGAUGCUAAUGAGAUAAUUAUUACCUAAAUCUUGGAUGAAUUUGGAGUAUUUAGUGGUAAUGGCAUCUAGGGCUUCAAAAAUGGGGGUUUUGUAAAUAGUUGGGUUUGAUCUCUUUUAACCCUCUGUAAACCUAAUUGAUAGGUCACUGAACGCGUGGCAAGCGACGGUUCGUCGAUUCGUCGAGCGGGUGCGACGUUCCGGCUGAAACAAGUGUUCGUGGGUUCGUAUUGACCCGAGGAGCCGAGGCGGCUUCCAUAAAUCGUGGGAUCGCAUCCCGAGCAUCAUAACGAAGAACCGAAGACCUUUAAUUUACGGAUCGCAAAUCGGUGGUCAUUUGACGGUCGCGUGUA